AGUAAAGUCACUUUAUUUGGUACAUUAAAGUUCCAAACCUGAAUUUAAUUUCCAUUUGACUGCAAUCCUCGGUAUUAUAUGUUCUGUCUCUACAAAGAAGAAACGCAGUCCACAAAGGACACAGACCUUAUUGAGCUUAGGGAAAAACAAUGUAUAUAGUUCUCUUCUAAUUGCAUAAAUAUAGUCUUCUCUCUCUCACUAGUUUUCAUAUAUAAGCUCUCGACUGAGUUCCGCUCGGUGUCCAAAACUUUCAUAUCUAAACCAUGACUGCGCCAGUGCCUUCUCUCAUCUACCGACGCGGCGGGGGUCUCCUCCCGCCUGGAGCUUGAUCUUCCUCGUCGGAUUCGACGUCUCCAUACUGCCACAGCCGCAGCCUUUCCUUCUUCGCCUUCUCCUGGAACUGUUCCAGGUUCUCGAGAGCUGUCUUCCUCUCCUUGGUGUCCCAUCUCUUGCCCCUUUCAAGUCGGGCAAGCCCUUCCUGCAAACAUUAGCAUGAGCAUGUUAGGGAUGAAGUUGACUAUUCCCAAACACAUAAAUAUGCAUCUAAGCUGGGAUAGGAAAUAAUGCUAAUAAUACUGAAUUCAUUGAAUAUAACUCGCACGUCGACCUCAAAAAGUAACUCAGACGUCAGAUAAACCAGAGUAGCUGGUAACUGAGACGAUGUUUCCAUAACCCUCAGAAUCCAUAUACACCACAAAACAUACUUAAGGUAGGUAGGAACUAGCGGAUAACAAUCCUAAUGUAUAGCAUUUCCGAAGCUACAUUUCCAAAAAAAACAUGGAGGGUCUAAACACUACUGUAUAAUUUUCAUGAUCAAUAUUAAAAAAAAUAUGACUAAUUCUGAGUGAUUGUGUAAAACUACUCAAACUGCUUAAGCAAUAUCCUCCAAACUAUUUUCAUAGCAAACUAUUUCUAUAAAGAAAGCUCCUCAUGGAAAGAUCAAAGCAGACCAUGCAGAACCCCGCCAGCCAGUAAACAAAGCUAACCAGCAAUUCAUAAUGCAUAACAGUUAAUAGCACAAACCUCGAGCAUGGCAGCAUUGAUGCUGGAUUCUGUCUCUGGAUCAACAAGAGUCACAAUGAGUACAGGUCCAGUGCCUUGUCCCUUCACUUUACCACCAGUAGUGUCGCGCUCUUCGAUCAUUGCCCGGUAUUGUUUUGAACUGCUCAGCAAGCAUUCGCUGAGAUACUCUGCUGCUUCCUGACCAUUAUCAUCCUCCAGACCAGGCACCUUUAUGAAGGCAAGGCUGCAGAGCUGAGCAAGAGGAGGAGAGGAGGAUACUGAUGGGUCUGCAGGCCGGAUGCGGUUGUAAGGAACCACUUCUUGGUUGCCAAAAUCAAUGUAGAAUACUUCAAAUUUGUCAUCUACAGACUCUACAGCUCCUCGGGGUCCAUUAACAAUCUGCAGGAAUUAUGAUGGAAAUUCUCCUUAGGAUACUGUACGAUUUUAUUAUAAACAAAUAUGUAAAACUAAUUAGUCAUCAUGAGAAGAACAAAUAUUAGCAUGUAGCAUUGCACUGAAGUGGGACAUCAUGCGCGUAUUUUCAACAAUACUGUCAACUUGGCAAGAUACUGCUAAUAGUAUUGUCAUGUGCACUGUUAGGUACUCAAGUCUGACACUCGGCAUGUAUCACUUCACCUAAAUGAUCCUAACAAGCACACCAAUUCUUAAGGUCCAGCAGCUUAAGUAGAAACUGAUAUUUGUUAAAUGCGUCAAGUUAAACGGCUAAUGACAGGUCUAAGUAUCUAUUAAAGAUAUUGCUGAAAUCAGAGUCUGAAUUUAAUAGCCAAUCUAUGACCUUGAUACAAGAAUAAUUAGUUAGUUUUAAUAUGAGUGAAUUAACUGUAGUCAUACCAUGGCUCUAUUCCAAGAGUUGUCGAGGCUAAACUGAGCAAGGACUAUCUCUCCCUUCCCAGGAUUAAAAGCACCAAUGACUGGUGCCUCCUUAAGUUUCAAGGAUGCAAGCUGUUGUUGGAUGGAAGCUACUCUCUGGUCACCUACUGUCUGGGCAUAGAACUUUCCACCACCAAGAACUUCAGUAGCAACAACCUGAACUCAGGUAACAGAGCCAUGUCAGCACUGUUUUAGUAACGACAAAAAUCAACUACUUCCAAUGUUUUUUCAUCAACGAACCUUCAGAAUUUCCUUUUGUUUGGAUUCAGAGGCCGACCCAUUAGUAACUUCUUCACCCUCGACAUAGUUCUCCCAUAUCUUGAUAAAUAGGUGUCAGUAACAAAAAAAAACAAUUAUGUACUUCCUAAAAGAUGUAGCAGUAUAACAGGUUACCUUCAGUUUCUGCUGCUUUGCUAACUUUUCAGCUCUUGUGAGGACAUGAGCAUCUGGAAUCCUAUCCAAGCCAAAUGAACUAAGCUUGGCCAAGCCAGACUCCAAAAGAACAGAACCCACAUUGGUCUUAGACUCCCACAAGGAACCUAUGAAUGUUCCAGUUCUAUCAACUGUUUCAACCUCAAUCUGCAAAAUGAUUUGGUAUCCUUCAGAUAUUGAAGAUUGAGAUAUGGACAAAGCAGAGAGGCAGCAAACGCCAUACCUCCACAUCACGCUGUAGAAUCAUCCUCCUCAUCAAAGCAAUAGCUUCGCUCGAGUAGGGCUCAUCUUUACCAGGGCACCUAACACCAGACAAAGAAAAAGCGAUGCUGCAAGUCUCCUUCGGAAUUGUUAGUUUGAAACGAUGACCGCUGAACACAUAUUCAACAACAGCAGUAUGCCUUCUAUUCCGCUGCAGGAAGGGAAGGAAAUCUUUGGCCUUCUUAGAAUUAACCUGAGGAGAUAUGCAAUCAUAACAAUCUAUUAAUAAAGGUGCAGAGCAAAUGUCAAAGGAAACUACUGGAACAAGCAAGAAUGCCAACCAUUGUUAAAUCUGUUAUAUGCAUCACAGGAGGAAGUUUGUCAGAGUGAAUUCCUUUCUUUGCUUUCUCAGCACGUGAGUGAGCCGCUAAUAGAGCAUCAAAAUAAUGUGAUCUUUCCUCAUAGUCACGGUGUUUUGAUAUCUCAGCAAAGCCCCGUGAGAGCAAAAGCUCAGCAACAUUAAUUUUAGGCUGGGUGCCUGUGCUUGGAGCAGAAGAUGUGUCAUCUCCGUCCGCCGGUGAUGGCGAACCUAGAAACACUGAACCAUAAUCCAAAACUCUGGUAUCAGCCGAGUUCAUUACAGGCACAGCAUUCUGUCCAUCCAUUGUACUGAUCCUUCUAGAAUAUUCCAUUUCCACGGUCACCUGAAAUUUUGAAAAAAGGGAUAUAUCAGUCAUUUCUCAACUAAGAAAUCAACUUCUCAUCAUUGUAACUUCAGUAAGAAUAUGAGCAGCCCAUACAUACCUGUUUGCCAAUCAACCGAGUGCGCAAGAAUUCCUUAGAUUCACGAGCAAAUUUGUCGGGCUUGUUGUCCUCUCUGCGGGGAUUGCCUAGCUUAGGAGCUCUAAUACUUGAAAGAUUAACCCGCCGUUCUGCUGAAGGACUACCAUAAGGAGCAGCAUCAUCAGCAACAAUAAUACAAUCUCCACUCACAACUUCUACCACCUACAAAGACAUCAAUAUGAACCAAAUUAGUUAAGUCACAAGAAUGAUGAUCAAUAGACUGCUACUGAGAACAUGAAACCCACUUUUCCAGUGAAUUUCUGAUCAUGGAUUGGCUUCGAAUUUGUCACUGGUGGCUUAAAUCCAGUCCAAAUUCUCAGCUGUUCCUUUUUUGCCUGAAGUUCAGCAUUCUUCAGCUUUAUUUUAACUUCAACAUCUAGCAUGUUCGCACUCCAUUCCACAUAUUUCGCAAGACCCUGUAAUGGGAAGGUUACAGAACAGUUAAGAAAUGCAAAUGUCUGAAAGAUUAAAUAAACAAUUUAGCUAUUCUUGCUUCGUAGAAUGAAUAUGGAUAAAUAAUUAGUCAUACAUUUUCAACAAGCUCAAGGGACAAGUCCUUAGCAGUGUCACCAUCUGGGUAAUACACCGAACCAAUUAUAUUACUGAAACUGUCUGUCCCCUCCACCACAAUCCGCACCUAGAGAAAAAAUACAAAUCAAAACUGAUUAAAAGAUGAUACAUGUUGACUCUAAAGAUGGGAUAAAACAACCAAAAGAAAAGGUGGCUUACAUCUCUGUUCAGAACACGAGUCUCUGUGAAAUGCUUAGCUUCUCUUCCAAACCUAUCUGGUGGAACUUCAGUAGAGGCUGUCGAUGCAGCAAGCCUUUGUGCUGUUGUCAGUGGUGCAGGAGCUUCCCCAGAAUCGUCACCAUUUGUAGUGCCGUUAGUAGUGCCCUCUGGUUCGGCAACAACAGUAGGAUUCGGUGGUCGUCUCCCCAUGGACGGAGCCUGCAUUUCAUCAUUCUCAAUAUUUACUUUCUAACAGAAAAAAUAUAUAUGGAAUCAAAUAGAAGCUAUUGAGAAGCACACCUGCACUCCAGCGACAUAUAUCUGGACAAAUUGGAAACUUGGAAGCAAGUAAACACGAAUGGUACUGCCAUCACGAACUUGUUCGACAAUGGCUUCCAGACUCUUGCCUUUAUUUGCAACUGCAAAACCCUUUGCAUCAAAACCACUUAGUUCGCCAAUUGCUGAUGGUGGAAGAUCUCUUAUCGAAUCUUCAGCAGCACCAGGUUCCUAAGUUGGCAGAAAAUAAGAACACAAAAUUAGGUCAUCAUUCGAUAGAACAUUUGUGUCAUGCAAUUCAAAAGAUGGUUGCAGGACAGCAGGAACCCCAAAAGAAAGCAAACCUUGCUCCAACGGCCUAAACCCUGUUGCUUAGCAACUUCCUCCAACCUCAGAAGCUCAGAGACAUUUGGGAGUGGUUCACCCCCCUUGGGGCCUUGCUCCUUCACCUGAUCAAAUAAAUAAGAUCAAAAUUUACGAAAACAUUUGGCACAACAAAACAAUUGAGGAAAAAGUAAAUGGUUAUCACCCUUGCCCAUCCUGCAGCAACCACCAAGUAGGCAACGUUCUUGUCGCCAAGGUAGACAGUGCCAAAUUCUCGUCCGAUGUUAGGAGCAGUGUAAUCCACUCUAAAUGUGACCUCCUGCAAUAGAUUUUAGUUUUUCAUUUCCAAGAGAAUAUAGAAGUCGUUUUUAUGUGAUUACAUUCAGUAUUAAUACAUGCAUAGGAGGAUUUGGAAUAGAUAAAGAAAAGACACAUCAUGUACCUUUCCUACGCAGAGUUUCCUCAGAUACUCCCUGCUUUCCCAAGCAAAUGGCUCAUCCACUCCACCACGACGAGCCUAGAGCACCACAAAUAUACGGAUUCAACAGACAAGAAAAGAUGGAGACAAGAACAAAUGUACUGCACAAAUAACAUCAACAAUUUAUUAUAGAUGCAUUCCUAAGUGUCAAAUUAUACAAACAGAACACAGUGAAACAGUGGGAACGAAAAUGCAAUGAUGGAGAGAAAUUCUUGUGCCAAAUACUAACUUCCAUUGGCUCACAAGUGUAGCAUGUAAACAUAAUUCACUAUAGAGAAGGGUGGAAGCAGACCCUGCGCAAUCAAGGCUUCAACUCAGGCUCUAGAUCCAAAAGCCCAUAGAAACUACCAUAUAAAACAAAAAAAUGACUAAUAUAUUACAUCCCUAGAUGAGCAGGCCUAUAUCUAGCUCUGCCCCUGACAACACACUAAACCAGUGACUUACUCUAAAUUAAUGGAGGAAAUGAACACAUGCAACAAGUUAAAAUGUAAACCAUAUUCCCCUUGUCUAAAAGUGCAGACUGACUCUUACCAGCCUUGGGGCCAUAAGGUAUGACAGAGUGAUGGACUUCUCUGGUGGAAUCUCUGCCUUUGUGCUCCCCAUGAUGAGAAGGCAGUCUCCAGACGUCACAGCCUUCACCUUGCCCCUUAGCCAUCCUGAAGCCCCUGUGCUUGCUGCCAUGAUAGCACCUAUAUUUGCAAUCAAAAGGAAACAGAACUUCAUUAGCUGUGAAGUCAAAUUUAGUUGGGUCGUCCAUAUAAUUCAACAAUUCUUCUGUUAAUACAUGCAUGUUCCAUAAUUUUCAUUGUAUUUGGAUUUCACAGGCCAUAGGUGGCUAGAAGGAAAGAAAAACAUGACCGGUCACAUGUGAAUUGAAGAUAAUUAAUCACCACAAUGUUAAAAUUUUCCCAUAAAUCACUGCUGCUUUUUAAAUGUUGUAAAAUCAAUCCACUCCAAUCCUAACAUUGCAGAAACUUUCAGUCACGGCUCAGGGAGUCGCAGAACGGCGGAGCAGUGCACACAAAACAUACGAAACUAAAUAUGAUCUGAUACACACAGAAAUUCGUCCAGGCAGACAUGCACAGAGCUGCAACACUAACAGCCUGUGUAAAUCUGUACCUAGCCAGUGAGAAAACCUCGUCAGAAUUCCUGAGCCUCCGGAUCUGUGACCCGGCGGACCUGAACUGUACGUUUGUUACAUGCCGUGUUGUUCAGAACGCAUUGCCCUGCCCCUCUCCUGUCUAGCCGUGAGCCAUGGCAAAAAGGCGGCUGCCAUGCAACCAAAAUUUGUGGUGGGCACAAGGCUAAAUCCUCCGGGUGCAGCUUUUCCCCCAUGUUUCCUUUUCCGGAACGUGUUCAUUUUUAGCAACUUCCGAUGUGGUGCAACCCCCACCCCACCCUACCACACGCUGAACAACAAACAUGUUCCUACAGAUCUGUGAUGCUCGCCGCUGACAGUGAUAACCCCCCUGCCGCCUCGUUUUGCGGGAAAGCGCUGCCGUAAAAAAAAUUGCACGAAAAAAAACACUAGAUCUACGUUAAACCCAACAGAAAAAAAACAUCGUCAGAACCUUCAAACGGAUCUAGGCAAAAUCUACCGUAAACGACCACGAACUACCGCUCGAAGGAAAACAGUCGAAUCAGGAGCACUCCAGGCGAACCUGCUCCACAUCUACCGCGCAGAUGGGUGGGAGAAAAACUGCAGGGAUCGCGAAAACAGAGCAGAUUACCCCUGCGCAUCCUCCAAGCUUCGAAGGCUAGAUUACAACUAGCAGAGGAGGAGAUCGGGAAUGGAAACAGAGCGCAUCUGGCAGCCAGAUUAGAACAGGCAAUUCACCGGCCGGCGAACUGGCACGGACGCGCGCGUCGGCGAGCGGCUAUCACGACGGCGAGGAGGAGAGGGGAGGAGGGGCGGUCUCACCUUGGGGGAGGGGUCGGCCUCCGCCUCCCGAUCCGAGAUCCGGGAGAGGGGGUUUGGCCGGCCUGAUCCGGGGAGGAGGAGGGAGGAUCUCUCUCUGAUCCCGAUCCGAAUGAGGGAGGAAAAAAAACGCUGGAGUGGAGCGACGCCCACUGCCCCCAUUUAUAAUAUCAUCGGCAUUUUUUUGGAACCUUCUCCUCCGUAUUAAUUCCUUCGCUGGGCCGGCGGGCUCCUGGGCUGGGCUUUCCGCUGCACGCACGUGAGUCAGAGAGGAUGGUGGAUAGAUAUCGUGACGCGCAAGCGAGAAAGAGGACGAGGUUGCUGCACGCUACGUCAUGCUAGCUGGGUUUCUUUUGGGGAAAUGACGAGGUGGGGAUCUAUCUACCUAUCCAUCCAUCACCCCAAAGGGGAUGAAAGCUGUUGGGACAGAUGAUACAGCAGCUUUAUCCUCAGGCCUAGAGAGUUUGUUCAAUGCUUUCCAACUGUUUCUAUCAUCGAUCUGGGUUUUGUUGGGGUUGGUCUUCCUUUUAGUUGUGUUUUUCUUGGAUGUUAGUGAUGAGGAGGCUUUGGGCGUCAGGUUGUUGAUGAUGGUCACUCCAACAAUUGGAUGGGAUAGAGGAUUGUUGGUUAUUGAUUUGAUUGUCACAAUAACACAGGUGUACUAUAUACGAUGUAUGGCCUUCCAUUUACGGAGGUCGAUGUUUAGCUCACGGUGUCGUCAUCCAUCGGAAUUUGUAUCUCCGCUAUUUACAUUGAGAUGUUUAUUACUUUUUCUUUCUAUUAAAGUCCUCGAGUUGCGGUAAAUAUUCAUUGUGCCGCUUUAUACAUUCAUUAUAGGAUAUGCUCAGUUAUUGUGCUUUGAUUGGUACAGUUGAGUGGAGAAAAGGGAACACGUGGCGUUAAUUUUUUGGGGGCGAGGGGGGUUCGCAAUUAUGAUCAAGGUAGCUCGGAAGUGGUUGUUGGUGGUUAGAGGAAAAAUCAUAGUAGGUACUUGUUGUGUGUCGUUGCCAAAUUGAUGUAAACAAAUUCCCAAAGGAAAUAUAUACAAUAGACACAAUUCCCAUAAUCAUUAUCAUGGAAUUUGUCAGGACCAUUUCCGUGGAAAUCUCGAUUUUAAAUUCUAAUUCUACACUACUGCAGAAACCUGUAUAGUCGUCUGCCUUUGAGUGACGGGCGGAGGGACUGCUUCACUAGUAAGGUGGCAAUCGCCUAUAGACCAAUGACGGGAACCGACAGUCGCCCUUCACUUGUAUGAUUUACAUAGGGAGGUCAAUUAUCCAGGGAUGAGCACCCUCUGGCCGCUCAUCAUGGGCAUUGCUCUCCCACAACUCCUUAGCCACCUACAUCAGUUUCAUGCGGGAUGGAAGAGGCAUUCUCCACAUCCAAAAACUGGGUGUCGUAGCCAUCAAUUCUCAAUCUUGCCAUCCGCUGUCGCAGGAGAUUCCCCACCACGCAUUGAUGAGUGUCUUUUACACACAAUUUUACCCUCUUUUAAACUGGAUAUUCAUGAAUAAUCAGUGAGUUUAUCACUUCAUCUGGCCCCACUAUUCACACUAAUAAUUGCAAAGAUGUGCAAAUCUCCUUGUUUAUUCUAUUCCUUGCAAAUAUGGAAAUAUCUAGGUGGAAAUCAAAGCAUAUAUGGGAUGUACUCGAGGAGACAACUAAUGGUAUUAGUGCAAAUGCUCGUACCGGCGAUCGCAACGCCGCCUCUGAGACGUGAGGACAAUGAGCUUUCGUGAAGGGGCACAAGCCCAGUGCGCAAUGGAGUGUCCCCUAAACCAUAAUUCACAUCCUACACUAUGAAAAGGGGCCAAAUAAUGAGUAGUGGUAAGAGUGGAAUAAUGAGUAGGGCCAAAUAAGUCCAUGUGUAGCACCUCGAAGGGACGUGUAGUCAUCAUGAUUGUCUUCUAGAGAUGCUUUGCCCUAGUCAUCUUCCCGGCUUCGCAGGUGACGGUGUCCUGGACUAGGGGGUGCCAACCUAUGUGGCCCACACAGUCCAUGGGUCAAGCUUACGGCCCGCCGAUCUCAACAAGGGAGGACUCCAGAAGCCUCGAACCCGGGCGUUGAAAGAGCAUGGUGCCCCAUGUUUGGUUUUGAUAACCGAUGACAAUCCCUAUGGACUAAUGGUUGCUUUGAGUUAUUUUUUAAGGUUUGUCCAUAGGCUUCGCUUGAAGGCCAUAUGUUGGUUUCAAGGUUAUAAGAAGGAUAAUAUGUGUUGACCAAGGUACUAUUCAAGGAUUUAUCCAAAGAUUGGUCAUGUUUUGUCGUGCAAGUUCAAGGGGAGCAUCACGAAGUGAUCUCUUGCUUGAAGUUUGCCGUCCAUUGUGGUGACAAUGGACAUGUGAAGAUGUGCUGAAGAGAGGCUCACCCAUAGUGGAGUAUGGGGGAGCAAUCUACUAGUCUUCGUCGAGCCAAAGCAAUCAAGAAAGGUGGUCCAACUUGAGGAAGUCAAGAUCGUCAUCAUCUAGCUCAAGUGGACUAUGUGCAAGGUAAAGGUUUUUCCUUGAUAGAUUUUCUAUUUUACCGGUCUCAUGGUGUUAGUUGGGAGACCGGGUUAUAGGAUUGAUAGUCGUAUUAUCAAGGAGGGCUCUCGAGUGAGUAGCUUGAUCGUAUCAUUCGUAGAGAGCUCAAACCAUUGCAUCAUUGGCAUCAUCUUUCUUGGUUCUUGUUUGGCUUCUCUUUGUGUGAGUUUUUGAGCUUGUGGUCAUCUUCAUGACAAGCUCAAGCUCAUCGAAAAUGGAGUUUGUAUGCAUCAUCUCUUGUGUUUUUUAUGUUGGAGUUUAUGCCGGUUCUUCACUCGUGGAGGUUUCACACCUCUAUAUCAUAGGCAUACUCCCCUUGCCACUUCUGAAGAUUUCCAGUCGUGAUUUGACAACUCUUGUCGUUAGCUUUCCAUCAAGCUUGAGUUCGUCCGAAUCAGAGUUCCUUUGCAGAAGUGUUGGCAGCUUUGGUCUUCCUUGCAUCCAUCUGUUUUACUUGGGUUGUUUUGCUGCUUCCUAUCGGUAGUACUUCCGUUGACAUGUACGGCUUCCACUUUCGCUUAUUUUUAUGCUUCUGUUGACCAAUCUACUUGAGCGACAGUAGAGCGAUAGUACUGCUCCCCCAAGUGGUAGUACUACCCUGGCAGAACUACCAUUUUUACUUCUGUUCUCAUUGGGUUGUGUUGACCUGGCCCAAUGCACAUAGCAGUUGGAUUUGGGGGGGGUAUUUAAGGGGUUCUUCUUCCCUAAUGGUUCUUAUCAUUUGAGCUUGUGUUUGCCCCCUGAGGGAGUCCUGGAUUAGGGGGUCCUCGGACAGCCGGACUAUAUCCUUUGGCCGGACUGUUGGACUGUGAAGAUACAAGAUUGAAGACUCCGUCCCGUGUCCGGAUGGGACUCUCCUUGGCGUGGAAGGCAAGCUUGGCAAUACGGAUAUGUAGAUCUCCUCCCUUGUAACCGACUCUGUGUAACCCUAGCCCCCUCCGGUAUCUAUAUAAACCAGAGGGUUUAGUCCGUAGGACAAGAAGAACAACAAUCAUACCAUAGGCUAGCUUUUAGGGUUUAGCCUCUACGAUCUCGUGGUAGAUCAACUCUUGUAAUACUCAUAUCAUCAAGAUCAAUCAAGCAGGAAGUAGGGUAUUACCUCCAUCGAGAGGGCCCGAACCUGGGUAAACAUCGAGUGGGAAGCGGACGACGAGGAAAUUCGUUCCCCACCCACCACCCACUUAAUAGCCAUUGUCGACGACUUAACCAACAUGCUCGAUUUCGGCUCCGAAGACAUCGACGAUAUAGACGACAAUGCAGGAGACGAACAGGAACCACCGCCCACAGGGCGCUGGACUGCCACCUCAUCAUACGAUGUAUACAUGGUGGACACUCCCAAAGAAGGCGAUGGCGACAAGGCAACGGAGGAUAAUCCCUCCAAGAAGCAAUUCAAGAGCCGGCGUCAGCGGCGCCGCUCUAAGUCCCGCCAUAGCAAAAAUAGCGAUACCGGCACAAGAGACAAUAACGCUCCGGAUAGUGCCGAAUACGGCGACAAUCCCCUCCAGCCAGACCUCGAGCGGGAGGAUGAACAAGCUAGCCCUCCGGAACAGGCAGCAUACGGAGAAUCAGAGGAUGACAAUUACAUGCCUCUCUCCGAAGACGAGAUGAGCCUCGACGACGAAGAAUUAAUCGUACCUGAGGAUCCCGUCGAGCAGGAGCGCUUCAAGCGCCAGCUUAUAGCCACAGCAAAAAGCCUGAAGAAAAAGCAGCAGCAGCUUCAAGCUGAUCAGGAUCUGCUAGCGGACAGAUGGACCGAAGUCCUGGCGGCCGAGGAAUACGAACUCGAGCACCCAACCAAAAGUUACCCAAAGCGCAGGUUGCUACCCCAACUCGAGGAGGAAGCACUGAAACCUGCACUACCAGCAUAUGAUGCGGCUGACCGGCCACCUCGCGGCCGAGAUAAAGCGGCGUAUCAGCCCGAAGUUCAGCCCGCACCGCGUCGCCAGUCAAACAAAAACACCAAGGCCCGAGGCAAUACACAGGACCUGCGAGACGUAUUGAAAAACAAAGCAGGACAUACAAGAUCGAUCUACGGAUCACGGGGGCGCGCCCCAACACGUGACGAUGAUCGUCACGCCGGAUACACUAAAAACAAAUCCGGCCGGGCCGAAUACAGCAGACAAGACUCGUAUGAACUGCGCCGCGACAUAGCCCGGCACAGAGGCGCCGCACACCCCCUAUGCUUCACCGAUGAAGUAAUGGAUCAUGAAUUCCCAGAAGGGUUCAAACCCGUAAACAUUGAAUCAUAUGAUGGUACUACAGACCCCGCGGUAUGGAUAGAAGACUUCUUCCUCCACAUUCACAUGGCCCGCGGGGAUGAUCUACACGCCAUCAAGUAUCUCCCGCUAAAACUCAAAGGGCCGGCUCGGCAUUGGCUGAAUAGCUUGCCGGCAAACUCCAUCGGAAAUUGGGAGAGCCUAGCAGACGCAUUCCUGGACAAUUUCCAGGGCACUUAUGUGCGACCGCCGGAUGCUGACGAUUUAAGUCAUAUAACUCAGCAGCCAGGGGAAUCGGCCAGGAAAUUCUGGACCCGGUUCCUAACUAAGAAAAAACAAAUUGUCGACUGUCCGGAUGCAGAGGCCUUAGCGGCAUUUAAACAUAACAUCCAUGAUGAGUGGCUCGCCCGACACCUCGGCCAAGAGAAGCCAAAAUCCAUGGCAGCCCUCACGACAUUUAUGACCCGCUUUUGCGCGGGCGAAGAUAGCUGGUUGGCUCGUAGUAACAACACAGCAAGCAAACCUGGCGCAUCAGAGGCCAGGGAUAGCAACGGCAAACCACGACGCAACAAACACAAGCGCCGCAAAUAUGGUGAAAACGCCGAAGAUACGGCAGUUAAUGCCGGGUUCAGCGGCUCAAAGUCUGGUCAGCGGAAAGGGCCACUUAAAAAUAACAAUACGGGCCCAUCAAGUCUGGACCGCAUACUCGAUCGCCAAUGCCAAAAUCAUGGCACCCCUGGGACGCCAGCCACUCAUACCAACAGAGAAUGCUGGGUCUUCAAACAAGCCGGCAGGGCAGGCGCCAAAAACAGAGAAGGGGGGUCUUAAAGCGACGAUGGCGACGAAGAGCCCAGAUCACCGAACACAGGAGGGCAAAAGAAACUUCCCCUACAAAUCCAAACAGUGAACGUGGUAAACAUCACCCACAUUCCCAACCCGGACCGGAUAUGCACCCUUAGGGAUGCCCACUUAACGGAACUAGUCGCCCCACAAUAUAAAUUAGGGUCGGUCACCUUCAACCGCACGGAUCGUCCGGUUAACGCCAAUCAGGGCAACCCAGCUGCACUAGUCCUCGACCCAAUAAUCGACGGGUUUCACCUCACACGAGUCCUCAUGGACGGAGGCAGCAGUUUAAACCUGCUCUACCAGGACACAGUGCACAAGAUGGGCAUCGAUCAUUCGGUGAUCAAACCCACUAAAGCCACUUUCAGAGGCAUUAUACCAGGUGUGGAAGCCAGCUGUACAGGCUCCAUCACCCUUGAGGUAGUCUUUGGAUCACCCGACAACUACCGUACUGAAGAGUUAGUCUUCAAAAUCGUCCCCUUCCGCAGUGAUUAUCAGGCACUGCUUGGACGAACCGCGUUCGCUCGAUUCAAUGCGGUGCCAUAUUAUGCCUACCGUAAGCUCAAAAUGCCCGGUCCACGCGGCGUUAUCACGGUUCAUGGCAAGGACGAACUUUACUUCGACGUCAACAAGUACACCGCUGCCUUAACAGCAGAAGCAACAAGCAGCACCUUGCAGCCGAACCUCGAGUCAACGGCCAAGCUCCCGGACACCGCCAAAGGACUCCGAAUUACUUCGCGGAAGGAUAGCCCGGCUCGUCCAGAGCUCAAUUAAACACUCCGGCGAAGGCCAAGACAGGCCUCCUUCCCCCCUGGUCUCAGCAGGUUCUACAGUCAUAUUUCCUUUUUAUCACAUUAAAUGUACUUAUACGCAUCGACGUGCUAUUCAAAUACAAAUAUGUGGAUUCAUAUGACGCUUAUCUGCUGCUAUUUCCUAUAAAAUUCUUUUGUCAAGUGGCAUCCGUACAUAGCGAUAUGCCUUAAAAUAUGCCAGGGGCUUCGUUUUCCCCAUAACACGGCAAUAAAAGACCAAACACCUUCACGGAAGUUCGGCACCCCGAACCUAUAGCAUUAUAUGUAUCAGCUCCGAAUCAUGUCUUGGGUCAAUAGUUGGGUUUGCCCGGCUCCCAUGUUUUGGUACCUUACGUUCCGCUAUAUCGGCUAAGGUAGCACUGGGAGAACUACUGCGAUCGUGUCCCGGUUCUUCUGGACGAGCACCUCAGUAGAGAAAGCCAAAACUGAUUGUCAUGAUAUGGCGAGAGCUGGUCAGCUGUUCGAGAGGUUACAAAAUCUUUAAGGAUUUCUCCCGCAUAAUGCCAUAACCAAUGCAGCGUGCGAUGGAUCGGUCUUUUCUUUCGACCAGGUGCUUAUAGAGCGCCCCCGUGCGGUCUUCCGAACACCAGGGGCUGCGCCUACCUUCCUAAAGCUCCUAUGGCUAAGUGAGAGUGCUAAAGCCUUAUAGUCCGAUUGCCUGGUUCGUUGUGCUGAACACCUCCUUCGAAGGACCCAAAACCGGGAUAAAGAGUGAUCAGGUUUAUCCCGAACACCCCCGUACUUCUUACGUGGGGGCAGAAGCCGACGACUGGCCAACUCUCAGGAUUAAUAUAUAAAACGGCCGCGCAGGAGGGUAAACUUUCGCCUAACAGGCAAUAAAUAAUAUAAAUGACAUUGUUCAAACAUUACAAAGGACAACAUGAUUUACAUUCAUGGAAAUAUAAUGUCCUUGGUGCAUAGCUCCGCUGCAAGGUAGGAUCCUUUCAGGACACUCUCAUAAUAUAAUUCGGGCUUGCGAUGCUCCUUCCCAUCUGGCGGUCCUUCGGUCAUCAGCUUUUCAGCAUCCAUCUUCCCCCAGUGCACCUUUGCGCGGGCGAAGGCCAUUCGCGCACCCUCUAUACAGACCGACCGCUUGAUGACAUCAAGUCGAGGGCAGGCACUCACAAGACGCUUCACGAGCCCGAAGUAGCUGCUGGGAAUCGGCUCGGCGGGCCAUAGCCGGAUAAUCAGAUCCUUCAUGGCUAGUUCUGCGGCCUUAUGCAGUUCGAUCAGCUAUUUCAGUUGAUCGACAAACGACACCGGAUAAUUCGGUGCCAAAUACUGCGACCAGAAGAGCUUAUCCGCAGUGUUCCCUUCUUCGGCUCGGUAGAAUUGGGCGGCAUCCGAUAUGCGGCGAGGCAUCUCGGCAAAUACCCCUGAGAAAUCCGAAUUCAAAAUUAGAAACAUAAUUUUCUCCUCCAAUACUCGCUUUACAUGGAAAAAACCUUACCCGCCGCAAUCUGCCUCGCCUCUUGGAUCCCCUGCAGGGCGCUUUGGGUUUCCCCCCAGGCAUCGCUCGUGGCCUGAUGCACCUUGGUGAGCUCGGAUUAUUUCUCCAUUAAACUCUGCUCCAAGGAUUCGCAUUUCCUCACGGCCUCUUGAAGCUCCUCCUCGGCUUUAAUAACCCUGGCCUCGUGCUUCUCACAAAGAGCCUGCUCUGUGGCUGCCCUUUUCUCGGCCUCGGCCACAGCCUUCUUAAGAGCCUCGACUUCGGUCAUCAUCCCUAGCGCAAAUCACGAAACAUAUUUCAUCAUACUUAUAAUUCAUUUGCAAUAAACACGAACAAGACUUGCGCAUACCUUGUUUAUCUCCCAACUGCAUUUUCAAUUGGCCAAGUUCUUCUUUGGCCCGCUCCAGACUUUGAUUCAGUCCGGAACCUCCGCAGUAUGAGAGGCAGUAGCCGCUACAGACGCCUGCUUAUAACAAAAGAGAGAUAGAUGUCAUCAAAUGAGUCUUCCUGCGAACAUUAAUUCGAUCCUCUGUGUGGUUCUUUCUUUCACCGAGCAGUGUAUCAGGGGCUACUAUCCAUACCAUGACACUCUUCGAAACCUCAUAAAACAUACCUCAAAACCUUUUAUAAGGCUGAAACAGGCUUCAUUCAGUCCGCUCUCAGCGGACUGAAUCUUCUCAAUCACUGCACCCAUAAGGGCACGGUGUUCAUCAACGAUGGAGGCGCUCUUCAGCGCCGCCAACAAAGCAUCCGACACCUCUGGUUGGACAGAAGUUGCCGGUGGAACAGGCAUGCCCCCUCCAGUUGAGAGAGGCUGCCUGCUGGAUUCUGGAGCCAUAUUGGUCUCCGGAAUUGCAUCCGGCUGGGAGCCGAAUUCAAGAUGGCCCCCGCCGUCAGCUCCUGUGGGAAUUUUCUCCCCCAUGUGUCCGGCCCCUGAAGUUUGACCUCCAGGCGCCGCCUUCAUGGUCUUUCCCUCUCCUCCUUGGCCGGGGUCCCUCUGGGACGAAGCCUCGGUGUUAUUCACCUGUUUGGAGGAAGGGGCCUUCGGGGGCGUCCCGCUCUCCAUAGCAUCUGAGCUCAGCGAAUCCUCUGAUGAGGAUUGCUCGGUACGGGACCUCGCCGGACUACAAAAAUAUGGCUCAGGUUAAAAUAUUAUGCCAUGAUGAGUCCGGACGCAUAAACGUAUUCGGACUGUAUAUACUCACGAGUUCACCAGGGGCUGGGCCCUGGGAUCCCACGCCGGGCCGCUGUCGGCGGCGGCAGUGGACUCCUCCGGAAGAGGAACUUUUCCCCUUUUGGGCGACUCGGCCUCCAAGUGUGCGGAGGCCGUCCUUUUCUUUCUUCCCCCCGCAGGGGAUUCAUCUUCCUCAUCCUCCUCGUCCUCUUCGGAGGCGGAACGGGCAUCAGAGCCUUCGGAUAUUGUGUCCGAAGUGCCGCGGCGACGAAGACCGCCCCGGGCCUUUUUGGCCCCCUUCUCGGCCGUCCUCUUCGGCACCUUGUAAGGCGCCGGGACCAGCAUCUUCGUCAGAAGUGGGAUGGCCGGUUCUUCGGGCAGCGGGGCCGUACAAUGGAUCUGCUCCACCUUCUUCGUCCAGCCCUAGGAGAGUUGUAGAAAAUACAUUAAGCGCUUCCUUUGGGUUAAGCGGAUAAAAAGUAUGAUGACUUACCGAGCUUGCAGGGCGGGACAGUUGGUACCCACGGUCUUCGGUGGAGUCCGGCCAUGAUUUGCUGGACUUGAAGAGCACCUUCCAGAUGUCUUUGUGCGAGGAGCCAAAAAGCUCUCGCAGGGUUUGGUGCUUGGCCGGAUCGAAUUCCCAUAGAUCGCAAGUCCGGUGUUGACAAGGUAGAAUCCGGCGAACUAACAUCACCUGGACUACAUUGACAAGUUCAAUGUUCUUGUCUCCUAUAUCUUUAACGCGCGUCUGGAGCACCGACAAUUCGUCGGACAAGGACCGGUUCAGGCCCUUCUUGACACAGGAUGUAAGCCGCAGAGGGGCUCCGGAUCGAAACUCGGGAGUAGCGGCCCAUUCUGUGCCGCGCGGCUCGGUGAUGUAAAACCACUGCUGUUGCCACUCCUUGACGGAAUCGUUAAAGGUGCCUGUUGGCCAUGUGACAUUGGGCACCUUGCUCACCAUAGCGCCCCCGCACUCGGCGUGCUCGCCGCCCACUACCUUGGGCUUCACAUUAAAAAUCUUCAGCCAUAAGCCGAAGUGUGGCGAGAUGCGGAGAAAAGCCUCGCACACGACAAUAAAUGUCGAGAUAUUGAGGAAGGAAUUAGGGGACAGCUCAUGAAGAUCGAUCCCAUAAUAAUACAUGAUGCCGCGAACGAACGGGUGGAGGGGAAACCCUAGCCCGCGGACAAAGUGAGGGAGGAAUACAACUCUCUCGUGGGGUUCCGGAGUAGGGACGAUCUGUCCCGCCGUCGGGAGACGGUGGCUGAUUUUCUUGGCCAGAUACCCGGCCUCCCGAAGCUUUUUGAUAUCCUUCUCCCGGACGGUAGAGGCCAUCCACUUGCCUCCUGCUCCAGAUCCGGACAUUUUCGGAAGGCCUUUGUGGGCAGAGAAGAUGAACGCUUGGGCACUGGAGCUCGAGCGAAGGGGAAUAGAUCGGGAGGAAGAAAACGUGGGUGCGGAAGGGAGUCCUUAUCCCCUUAUAAAGGCAGCAGGGAUUCUGCGUCUCCUCACUUGCCUGGUAAAACCGCUUAUUCCCCAAGCGCCGUAAUUGAUGGCGCGGUUGGGUUACCCACACCCGUAUUGAUGAGAAUCCCGUGAUAAGGGGACACGAUCUCUGCUUCGACAAGACGUGCCGAGAAAACCGCCUCGCAAUAUGUGCAGUGGCUGGUUGUGGAAAACGGUUCGAAUAAUGACCGGGCCGCGGUGUGAUGUCAUGCUGCAGAAGCUGUCGGCAGAUUAGAUUUGUGGAAAUAUUAUUCUCUCUACGGUGGUAUGUGGAAUUUGUUUUGCAGAGCCGGACACUAUCCUUGUGUUCAAAAUCUUCUAUGGAGUAUUCGGAGGAAGAACCCGCCUUGCAAUGCCGAAGACAAUCUGUGCGCCGGACUCAUCGUCAUUGAAGCCUGGUUCAGGGGCUACUGAGGGAGUCCUGGAUUAGGGGGUCCUCGGACAGCCGGACUAUAUCCUUUGGCCGGACUGUUGGACUAUGAAGAUACAAGAUUGAAGACUCCGUCCCGUGUCCGGAUGGGACUCUCCUUGGCGUGGAAGGCAAGCUUGGCAAUACGAAUAUGUUGAUUCCCUCCUUUGUAACUGUUGGAAAUAUGCCCUAGAGGCAAUAAUAAAUUGGUUAUUAUUAUAUUUCCUUGUUCAUGAUAAUCGUUUAUUAUCCAUGCUAAAAUUGUAUUGAUAGGAAACUCAGAUACAUGUGUGGAUACAUAGACAACACCAUGUCCCUAGUAAGCCUCUAGUUGACUAUCUCGUUGAUCAAUAGAUGGUUACGGUUUCCUGACCAUGGACAUUGGAUGUCGUUGAUAACGGGAUCACAUCAUUAGGAGAAUGAUGUGAUGGACAAGACCCAAUCCUAAGCCUAGCACAAGAUCGUGUAGUUCGUUUGCUAAGAGCUUUUCUAAUGUCAAGUAUCAUUUCCUUAGACCAUGAGAUUGUGCAACUCCCGGAUACCGUAGGAAUGCUUUGGGUGUACCAAACGUCACAACGUAACUGGGUGACUAUAAAGGUGCACUACAGGUAUCUCCGAAAGUGUCUGUUGGGUUGGCACGAAUCGAGACUGGGAUUUGUCACUCCGUGUAAACGGAGAGGUAUCUCUGGGCCCACUCGGUAGGACAUCAUCAUUACGUGCACAAUGUGACCAAGGAGUUGAUCACGGGAUGAUGUGUUACAGAACGAGUAAAGAGACUUGCCGGUAAUGAGAUUGAACAAGGUAUCGGGAUACCGACGAUCGAAUCCCGGGCAAGUAACAUACCGAUUGACAAAGGAAAUUGUAUACGGGAUUGAUUGAAUCCUUGACAUCGUGGUUCAUCCGAUGAGAUCAUCGAGGAGCAUGUGGGAGCCAACAUGGGUAUCCAGAUCCCGCUGUUGGUUAUUGACCGGAGAGUCGUCUCGGUCAUGUCUGCGUGUCUCCCGAACCCGUAGGGUCUACACACUUAAGGUUCGGUGACGCUAGGGUUGUAGAGAUAUUAGUAUGCGGUAACCCGAAAGUUGUUUGGAGUCCCGGAUGAGAUCCCGGACAUCACGAGGAGUUCCGGAAUGGUCCGGAGGUAAAGAUUUAUAUAUGGGAAGUCUUAUUUUGGUCGCCGGAAAAGUUUCGCGCAUUAUCGGUAUUGUACCGGGAGUGCCGAAAGGGGUCCGGGGGUCCACCAAGGGGUCCACAUGCCCCGGGGGGGCACAUGGGCUGUGGGGUGUGGGGUGUGCGCCUUGGCCCAUAUGGGCCAAGGGAACCAGCCCCAAGAGGACCAUGCGCCAAGAGAUAAGAUAAAGGGAGAGUCCUAAAGGGGGAAGGCACGUCCUAGGUGCCUUGGGGAGGAUUGACUCCUCCCUGGCCGCACCCUUCCUUGGAGGAAGGGCCAAGGCUGCGCCCCCCCUCUCCCUUGGCCCUAUAUAUAGUGGGGGGAAGGGAGGGCAGCAAACCCUAAGCCCUGGCGCCUCCCUCUCCCUCCCGUGACACAUCUCCCUCCUCCCGCAGCGCUUGGCGAAGCCCUGUUGGAAUCCCGCUACUUCCACCACCACGCCGUCGUGCUGCUGGAUCUCCAUCAACCUCUCCUCCCCCCUUGCUGGAUCAAGAAGGAGGAGACGUCGCUGCUCCGUACGUGUGUUGAACGCGGAGGUGCCGUCCAUUCGGCGCUAGGAUCAUUGGUGAUUUGGAUCACGACGAGUACGACUCCAUCAACCCCGUUCUCUUGAACGCUUCCGCUCGCGAUCUACAAUGGUAUGUAGAUGCACUCCCCUUCCCCUCGAUGCUAGAUUACUCCAUAGAUUGAUCUUGGUGAUGCGUAGAAAAUUUUGAAUUUCUGCUACGUUCCCCAACAAUGGUAUCAGAGCUAGGUCUAUGCGUAGUUUAUAUGCACGAGUAGAACACAAAGUAGUUGUGGGCGUCGAUGUUGUCAAUUUACUUGCCGUUACUAGUCUUAUCUUGAUUCGGCGGCAUCGUGGGAUGAAGCGGCCCGGACCGACCUUACACAUACACUUACGUGAGACAGGUUCCACCGACUGACAUGCACUAGUUGCAUAAGGUGGCUAGCGGGUGUCUGUCUCUCCCACUUUAGUCGGAUCGGAUUCGAUGAAAAGGGUCCUUAUGAAGGGUAAAUAGAAAUUGGCAUAUCACGUUGUGGCUUUUGCGUAGGUAAGAAAUGUUCUUGCUAGAAUCCGAUAGCAGCCACGUAAAACAUGCAACAACAAUUAGAGGACGUCUAACUUGUUUUUGCAGGGUAUGCUAUGUGAUGUGAUAUGGCCAAAAGGAUGUGAUGAAUGAUAUAUGUGAUGUAUGAGAUUGAUCAUGUUCUUGUAAUAGGAAUCACGACUUGCAUGUCGAUGAGUAUGACAACCGGCAGGAGCCAUAGGAGUUGUCUUAAUUUAUUGUAUGACCUGCGUGUCAAAGAAAACGCCAUGUAAUUACUUUACUUUAUUGCUAACCGUUAGCCAUAGUAGUAGAAGUAAUAGUUGGCGAGAUAACUUCAUGAAGACACGGUGAUGGAGAUCAUGAUGAUGGAGAUCAUGGUGUCAUGCCGGUGACGAAGGUGAUCAUGCCGCGCCUCGAAGAUGGAGAUCUAAGGCGCAAGAUGAUAUUGGCCAUAUCACGUCACUUUAUGAUUUGCAUGUGAUGUUUAUCAUGUUUACAUCUUAUUUGCUUAGAACGACGGUAGCAUAAAUAAGAUGAUCCCUCACUAAAAUUUCAAGAGACGUGUUCCCCCUAACUGUGCACCGUUGCGAAGGUUCGUUGUUUCGAAGCACCACGUGAUGAUCGGGUGUGAUAGAUUCUAACUUUCGAAUACAACGGGUGUUGACGAGCCUAGCAUGUACAGACAUGGCCUCGGAACACAUGUGAAACACUUAGGUUGACUUGACGAGCCUAGCAUGUACAAACAUGGCCUCGAAACACAAGAGAUCAAAAGGUCGAACAUGAGUCGUAUAGUAGAUGCGAUCAACAUGGAGAUGUUCACCGAUGAUGACUAGUCCGUCUCACAUGAUGAUCGGACACGGCCUAGUUUGACUCGGAUCAUGUAUCACUUAGAUGACUAGAGGGAUGUCUAUCUGAGUGGGAGUUCAUUAAAUAAUCAGAUGAACUUAAUUAUCAUGAACAUAGUCAAAAGGUCUUUGCAAAUUAUGUCAUAGCUUACGCUUUAGUUCUACUGUUUAAGAUAUGCUCCUAGAGAAAAUUUAGUUGAAAGUUGAUAGUAGCAAUUAUGCGGUCUGGGUCCGUAAACUGAGGAUUGUCCUCAUUGCUGCACAGAAGGCUUAUGUCCUUAAUGCACCGCUCGGUGUGCUGAACCUCAGCGUCGUCUGUAGAUGUUGCGAAACAUCUGACAUACACGUUUUGAUGACUACGUGAUAGUUCAGUGCGUAAUGCUAACGGUUUAGAAUUGUGGCACCAAAGACGUUUUGAAACGUCGCAGAACAUAUGAGAUGUUCCGAAGACUGAAAUUGGGAUUUCAGACUAGUGCCCACGCCAAGAGGUAUGAGACCCCUGACAAGUUUCUUAAGCCUGCAAACUAAGGGAGAAAAGCUCAAUCGUUGAGCAUGUGCUCAGAUUGUCUGAGUACCACAAUCGCUUGAAUCAAGUGGGAUUUAUUCUUCCAGAUGAGACAGUGAUGGUUCUCCAUAGUCACUGCCACCAAGCUAUUAGAGCUUCGUGAUGAACUAUAACAUAUCAGGGAUAGACAUGAUGAUCCUUGAGCAACUCGCGAUGUUUGACACCGCGAAAGUAGAAAUCAAGAAGGAGCAUCAAUUGUUGAUGGUUUGUAAAACCACUAGUUUCUAGAAGGGCAAGGGCAAAAGGGAUACUUCAUGAAACAGCAAAUCAUUUGCUGCUCUAGUGAAGAAUCCCAAGGUUGAACCCAAACCCGAGACUAAGUGCUUCUGUAAUGAGGGGAACGGUCACUGAAGCAGAACUACCCUAGAUACUUGGUAGAUGAUAAGGCAGGCAAGGUCGACAGAAGUGUAUUGGAUAUACAUUAUGUGAAUGUGUACUUUACUAGUACUCCUAGCAGCAUCAGGGUAUUAGAUACCGGUUCGGUUGCUAAGUGUUAGUAACUCGAAAUAAAAGCUACGGAAUAAAUGGAGACUAGCUAAAGGUGAGAUGACGAUGUGUGUUGGAAGUGUUUCCAAGGUUGAUGUGAUCAAGCAUCGCAUGCUCCCUCUACCAUCGAGAUUGGUGUUUGCGUUGAGCAUAAACAUGAUUGGAUUAUGUUUAUCGCAAUACGGUUAUUCAUUUAAGGAGAAUAAUGGUUACUCUGUUUAUUUGAAUAAUACCUUCAAUGGUCUUGCACCUAAAAUGAAUCUCAAUCGCAGUGAUACACAUGUUCGUGCCAAAAGAUAUAAAAUAGUGAUGAUAGUACCACAUACUUGUGGCACUGCCAUUUGAGUCAUAUUGGUAUAGAACGCAUGAAGAAGCUCCAUGUAGAUGGAUCUUUGGACUCACUCGUUUUCGAAAAGAUUGAGACAUGCGAACCAUGUCUAUUGGUAUAUAUGCAUGAAGAAACUCCAUGCAGAUGGAUCGUUUGGACUCACUUGAUUUUGAAUCACUUGAGACAUGCAAAUCAUACCACAUGGGCAAGAUGACUGAAAGGCCUCGUUUUCAGUAAGAUGGAACAAGAGAGCAACUUGUUGGAAGUAACACAUUUGAUGUGUGCAGUCCAAUGAGUGCUGAGGCACGCAGUGGAUAUCGAUAUGUUCUUACUUCACAGAUGAUUUGAGUAGAUGCUGAGAAUAUUUACUUGAUGAAACACAAGUCUGAAUUAUUGAAAGGUUCAAGUAAUUUCAGAGUGAAGUUGAAGAUCGUCGUGACAAGAGGAUAAAAUGUCUAUGAUGUGAUCAUAGAGAUAUCUGAGUUACGAGUUUGGCACACAAUUAAGACACUGUGGAAAGUGUUUCACAAUUAAUACCGCCUGGAACACCACAGUGUGAUGGUGUGUCUGAACAUCAUAACUGCACCCUAUUGGAUAUGGUGCAUACCAUGAUGUCUCUUAUCGAAUUACCACUAUCGUUUAUGGGUUAGGCAUUAGAGACAACCGCAUUCACUUUAAAAGGGGCACCACGCAAUUCCGUUGAGACGACACCGUUUAGAGAAACCUAAGUUGUCGUUUCUUAAAAGUUUGGGGCUGCGAUGCUUAUGUGAAAAAGUUUCAGGCUGAUAAGCUCGAACCCGAAGCGGAUAAAUGCAUCUUCAAUACCCAAAACAGUUGGGUAUACCUCCUAUUUCAGAUCUGGAAGCAAAGGUAAUUGCUUCUAGAAACGAGUCCUUUCUCGAGGAAAAGUUCUCUCGAAAGAAUUGAGUGGGAGGAUGGUGGAGACUUGAUGAGGUUAUUGAACCAUAACUUCAACUAGUGUGUAGCAGGGCACAGGAAGUUGUUCCUGUGGCACCUACACCAAUUGAACUGGAAGCUUAUGAUAGUGAUCAUGAAACUUCGGAUCAAGUCACUACCAAACCUCGUAGGUCGACAAGGAUAUGUACUACUCCUGAUUGGUACGGUAAUCCUGUCUUAGAUAUCAUGUUGUUAGACAAUACUAAACCUACGAGCUAUGGAGAAGCGAUGGUGGGCCCAUAUUCCAACAAAUGGUUAGAAGCCAUGAAAUCCGAGAUAGGAUCCAUGUAUCAGAACAAAGCAUGGACUUUGGUGAACUUGCCCGAUGAUCGGCAAGCCAUUGAGAUAAUUGGAUCUUUAAGAAGAACACGGACAUGGACGGUAAUGUUACCGUCUAUGAAGAUCGACUUGUGGCAAAGAGGAUUUUCUCAAGUUCAAGGAGUUGACUACGAUGAGAUUUUCUCAUCCGUAGCGAUGCUUAAGUCUGUCGGAAUCAUGUUAGCAUUAGCUGCAUUUAUGAAAUCUGGCAGAUGGAUGUCAAAACAAGUUUCCUUACCAGUUUUCGUAAGGAAAGGUUGUAUGUGAUACAAUCAGAAAGGUUUUGUCGAUCCUAAGGAUGCUAAAAGGUAUGCUAGCUCCAGCGAUCCUUCCAUGAACUAGAGCAAGCAUCUCGGAGUCAGAAUAUACGCUUUGAUGGAGUGAUCAAAGUUUUUGGGUUUAUACAAAGUUUGUUAGAAACUUGUAUUUACAAUAAAGUGAGUGGGAGCGCUACAACAUUUCUGAUAAGUAUAUGUGAAUGACAUAUUGUUGAUCCGGAAUGAUGUAGAAUUUCUGGAAAGCAUAAAGGGUUGUUUGAAAGGAGUUUUUCAAAGGAAGACCUGGAUAAAGCUGCUUACAUAUUGGGCAUCAAGAUCUAUAGAGAUAGAUCAAGACACCUGAUGAUACUUUCAAAGAACGCACACCUUGACAUGAUUUUGAAAGAGUUCAAAAUAGAUCAGCAAAGAAGGAGUUCUUGGCUGUGUUACAAGGUGUGAGUAUUGAGUAAGACUCAAGACCUGACCACAGCAGAAGAGAGAGAAAGGAUGAUGGUCGUCCCCUAUGCUUUAGACGUAGGCUCUACAGUAUGCUAUGUUGUGUACCGCACAUGAAGUGUGCCUUGCGAUGAGUUGGUCAAGGGGUACAAUAGUGAUCUAGGAAUGGAUCACAUGACAGCGGUCGAACUUAUCCUUAGUAUCUAGUGGACUAAGGAAUUUUCUCGAUUAUGGGGGUGAAAAGGAGUUCGUCGUAAAGGGUUACGUCGAUGCGAACUUUGACACUAAUCCGGAUGACUCUGAGUAGUAAACCGGAUUCGUAUAGUAGAGCAGUUAUUUGAAAUGGCUCCAAGUAGAGUGUGGUAGCAUCCACAAGAUGACAUAGAUAUUCGUAAAGCACACACGGAUCUGAAAGGUUCAGACCCGUCGACUAAUAACCUCUCUCACAAGCAUAACAUGAUCAAACCAGAACUCAUUGAGUGUUAAUCACAUAGUGAUGUGAACUAGAUUGUUGACUCUAGUAAACUCUUUGGAUGUUGGUCACAUGGUGAUGUGACCUGUGAGUGUUAAUCACAUGGUGAUGUGAACUAGAUUAUUGACUCUAGUGCAAGUGGGAGACUGUUGGAAAUAUGCCCUAGAGGCAAUAAUAAAUUGGUUAUUAUUAUAUUUCCUUGUUCAUGAUAAUCGUUUAUUAUCCAUGCUAAAAUUGUAUUGAUAGGAAACUCAGAUACAUGUGUGGAUACAUAGACAACACCAUGUCCCUAGUAAGCCUCUAGUUGACUAGCUCGUUGAUCAAUAGAUGGUUACGAUUUCCUGACCAUGGACAUUGGAUGUCGUUGAUAACGGGAUCACAUCAUUAGGAGAAUGAUGUGAUGGACAAGACCCAAUCCUAAGCCUAGCAUAAGAUCGUGUAGUUCGUUUGCUAAGAGCUUUUCUAAUGUCAAGUAUCAUUUCCUUAGACCAUGAGAUUGUGCAACUCCCGGAUACCGUAGGAAUGCUUUGGGUGUACCAAACAUCACAACGUAACUGGGUGGCUAUAAAGGUGCACUACAGGUAUCUCCGAAAGUGUCUGUUGGGUUGGCACGAAUCGAGACUGGGAUUUGUCACUCCGUGUAAACGGAGAGGUAUCUCUGGGCCCACUCGGUAGGACAUCAUCAUUAUGUGCACAAUGUGACCAAGGAGUUGAUCACGGGAUGAUGUGUUACGGAAUGAGUAAAGAGACUUGCCGGUAACGAGAUUGAACAAGGUAUCGGGAUACCGACGAUCGAAUCUCGGGCAAGUAACAUACCCAUUGACAAAGGGAAUUGUAUACGAGAUUGAUUGAAUCCUCGACAUCGUGGUUCAUCCGAUGAGAUCAUUGAGGAGCAUGUGGGAGCCAACAUGGGUAUCCAGAUCCCGCUGUUGGUUAUUGACCGGAGAGUCGUCUCGGUCAUGUCUGCGUGUCUCCCGAACCCGUAGGGUCUACACACUUAAGGUUCGGUGACGCUAGGGUUGUAGAGAUAUUAGUAUACGGUAACCCGAAAGUUGUUCGGAGUCCCAGAUGAGAUCCCGGACGUCACGAGGAGUUCCAGAAUGGUCCGGAGGUAAAGAUUUAUAUAUGGGAAGUCUUAUUUUGGUCGCCGGAAAAGUUUCGCGCAUUAUCGGUAUUGUACCGGGAGUGCCGAAAGGGGUCCGGGGGUCCACCAAGGGGUCCACAUGCCCCGAGGGGCCACAUGGGCUGUGGGGUGUGCGCCUUGGCCUAUAUGGGCCAAGGGAACCAGCCCCAAGAGGCCCAUGCGCCAAGAGAUAAGAUAAAGGGAGAGUCCUAAAGGGGGAAGGCACCUCCUAAGUGCCUUGGGGAGGAUGGACUCCUCCCUGGCCGCACCCUUCCUUGGAGGAAGGGCCAAGGCUGCGCCCCCCUCUCCCUUGGCCCUAUAUAUAGUGGGGGGAAGGGAGGGCAGCAAACCCUAAGCCCUGGCGCCUCCCUCUCCCUCCCGUGACACAUCUCCCUCCUCCCGCAGCGCUUGGCGAAGCCCUGUUGGAAUCCCGCUACUUCCACCACCACGCCGUCGUGCUGCUGGAUCUCCAUCAACCUCUCCUCCCCCCUUGCUGGAUCAAGAAGGAGGAGACGUCGCUGCUCCGUACGUGUGUUGAACGCGGAGGUGCCGUCCGUUCGGCGCUAGGAUCAUCGGUGAUUUGGAUCACAACGAGUACGACUCCAUCAACCCCGUUCUCUUGAACGCUUCCGCUCGCGAUCUACAAUGGUAUGUAGAUGCACUCCCCUUCCCCUCGGUGCUAGAUUACUCCAUAGAUUGAUCUUGGUGAUGCAUAGAAAAUUUUGAAUUUCUGCUACGUUCCCCAACAGUAACCGACUCUGUGUAACCCUAGCCCCCCUCCGGUGUUUAUAUAAACCGGAGGGUUUUAGUCCAUAAGAAGAACAACAAUCAUACCAUAGGGUAGCUUCUAGGGUUUAGCCUCUACAAUCUCGUGGUAGAUCAACUCUUGUAAUACUCAUAUCAUCAAGAUCAAUCAAGCAGGAAGUAGGGUAUUACCUCCAUCGAGAGGGCCCGAACCUGGGUAAACAUCGUGUCCCCCGCCUCCUGUUACCAUCCGCCUUAGACGCACAGUUCGGGACCCCCUACCCGAGAUCCGCCGGUUUUGACACCGACACCCCCCAUUGUUGACCUUCUUUGAGCUUGCUAUCUCUUAAUCACUCCAAUGAUUAUGGCUAGUUCUUGAAGGCCAUACACUUUUAGGGGGGAGAUGGCCCUUCCCAUAUAUCCCCCUAAAAGUGCAAGUUGUUGAUGAUGGUCACUCAAACAAUUGGACAGGACAAAGGAUUUUUACUUUUGUCUUUAUUAAUUUCAUCAUCACAAUAACACCGGUGUACAUACCAUGUAUGGCCUUCCAUUUACGGAUGUAAGUGUUUAACUCACGAUGUUCUCGUCCAUCAAAAUUUGUAUCUUCGCUGUUUAGAUUGAGAAGUUCACUUUUACUUUCUACUAAGUCCUCGAGUUGCACGAAAUAUUGGAUACAUUGCUUUAUACAUUCAUUAUGGGAUAUGCUCAGUUAUUGUGCUUUGAUUGAUACUGUAAAGGAGAGAAAAGGGUACAUGUGGCGUUAAUAUUUUUCUUUUGGGGGGUGAGGGGGUUUCGCAAUUAUGAUCAAGGUAGUUGGGAAGUUGUUGGUGGUGGCUGGAGGAAAGAUCGCAGUGGCUAUUUGUUGUGUGUCGGUGCCAAAUUGAUGCGUAAAUUCCCGAAAGAAAUAUAUACAAUAGACACAAUUCCCAUAAUCAUCAUCAUGAAAUUUGUCGGAGCCAGUUUCAUGGAAUUUUGCACUGUUGCGGAAACCCAUAUAGCCAUCUGCCUUCCAAUGAUGGGAGGAGGGAGUGUGUCACUAGUAAGGUAGCAGUUGCCUACAGACCAAUGAUGGGAACCAAUGGUCGCCGAUCACUUGUAUGAUUCAUGAGGGGGGUCAAUUAUCCAAGGAUGAGCACCCUCUGGGCGCUCGUUGUGGGUAAUAUCUCCCACAACUCCUUGAGGACAUACCCCAGUUUAAUGCGGGGUAAAAGAGACAUUCAUGGCGUCGACGAUGCCUCAGUCAUGGCAACACCCUACCUCCUCCCAUCCUCAUAUAAAUAUCGCACAAUUGGACCCUUAACCCUGUGCCACCUCCAAAAUCUAGUCGUCGCCCCCAAUUCUCCAUCUUCCAUCCGUCGUCGCCGAAGAUUCCCCACCAACCAUUGAUGAGUGGAUUUACACACAUUUUUACCCUCAUUUAAACUGAAUAUUCUUAUGAGUUUAUCACUUCAACAUGCCCGAUAUCACACUGAUAAUUGCAAAGAUGCGCAAAUCUCCUUGAUUAUUCUAUUCUUGCGGACAUAAAAAUAUGUAGGUGAAAAUCAAAGCAUAGAUGGAAUGUACUCGAGCAGAGGAUCGAUUCCAUACAAAAUUGGGCUUCAACGGAGCUCAAAAAGGAGAAGACAACCAACAUUAUAAGCGCAAGUGCUCGUAACAGCAGUCGUGGACAAGGAGGUUUCGUGAAGUGGCACAAGCCAAAUUCGCAAUGAAGUGUCCCCUAAAGCAUUAUCCACCCAUUUGCACUAUGUAAAGGAGAAGGAUGACUCCUAUAGAGCUAUCUCUCCCAAUAUAAUUCUCAUUUCCAUCCUUGUCGCCAUAGCCGCCAUCUCCACACUCCAUUAGAUUGAUACUUGCAAUCAAGAUUUCAUCACAAUCAGCGACAUCGUAAAACAGUCAAGCAUUCAUCUUCAAGUGACCUUCAUAUAGUGUCACAUGUUUGUAAUUUAACUGCGAGGUAUGAUUAAUCCCCUGAGACUAAGGGUCGAGGUCUGAUACGUCUCAAACGUAUCUAUAGUUUUUAUUGUUACAUGCUAGUAUUAUAUUAUCAUUCCUAAAUAUUUUUACUAUCAUUUGUAACAUUUUGUAUUAUUAUUUUUGGAUUAACUUAUUAAUUAGUGCCCAGUGUCAAUUCAUGUUUUUGGUUCCACAAAAAAACACAAGUAUGAUGCUGACAACACAUGAUAGACAUGGCUCUCUAAUUGUAUCACUAAGCCACUUGUAUAUGAUCUUGCAUGGGCGGAGCCAAUAAAGUACGCAUCCCCACUCCGGUUACCGCGUACACUCGUGCCCCCAUCGUGCUUCCCCACUCCGGUUAUCACAACGAUGAUUAAGGGGAGUGAACUCCCCGCGGUAAUAACAUUAAGUUCUAGGGUUCUCCAUUAAUCCCUACUGCAAUGAUCAGGGGCGAAGCGAGAAUAGGUCAUGCCACUACCUACCCUCCACAACUACCCGUCUCACCAACAUAAAUCACAUCAAGUCCAUAAGUGGCUAAUGAUGUGUGAGCGCUCUUCACAACACCAUGAGACAAUCAAUGCAAUACAUAUAAAGAGAAUAUUGGAUCACUUAUUCAACAAAAUACUAAUCAUGCAAGGGUUCAUCCAAUUCCUUAAGAACUAACAGAACUACUCAAACAUCAUAGAGGUAGAGGGCAAAUUACAAACCAACGUGAGGCCGUUGGAGGAGAGGGGAAUGGCGGCACCGGUGGUGGUUGAGGGAGUCCUGGAUUAGGGGGUCCUCGGACAGCCGGACUAUAUCCUUUGGCCGGACUGUUGGACUGUGAAGAUACAAGAUUGAAGACUCCGUCCCGUGUCCGGAUGGGACUCUCCUUGGCGUGGAAGGCAAGCUUGGCAAUACGGAUAUGUAGAUCUCCUCCCUUGUAACCGACUCUGUGUAACCCUAGCCCCCUCCGGUAUCUAUAUAAACCAGAGGGUUUAGUCCGUAGGACAAGAAGAACAACAAUCAUACCAUAGGCUAGCUUUUAGGGUUUAGCCUCUACGAUCUCGUGGUAGAUCAACUCUUGUAAUACUCAUAUCAUCAAGAUCAAUCAAGCAGGAAGUAGGGUAUUACCUCCAUCGAGAGGGCCCGAACCUGGGUAAACAUCGUGUCCCCCGCCUCCUGUUACCAUCCGCCUUAGACGCACAGUUCGGGACCCCCUACCCGAGAUCCGCCAGUUUUGACACCGACAUUGGUGCUUUCAUUGAGAGUUCCACUGUGCCGUCACCGUAAGGCUUGAUGGCUCCUUCUAUCAUCGGCGACGAUGCGAUCCGGGGCGAGGUUUUCCUCCCCGGACAGAUCUUCGUAUUCGGCGGCUUCGUACCGCGGGCCAACUCGCAUGGCCAUCUGGAGCAGAUCGAAAGCUACGCCCCUGGCCACCAGGUCAGGUUUGGAAGCUUAAACUACACCGCCGACAUCCGCGGAGACUUGAUCUUCGACGGAUUCGAGCCCAUGACAGGUGCGCCGCACGGUCACGACAAGCAUGACUUAACUCUGCCGCCGGACGGUGUUCGGGAGAUCGCACCUGUGGCUACUCCGGCUUUCAAUCCGGAACGGAUUGCGCCGUCCGAGGACGGGUGGAUGGACCCCGCCACGGAGGCCGCACACUCAACGACGAUAGAGCCGAAUACUGACUUCACCUCCUAUGAGACCCGUGUGGCCGGAUCCUUGGAUUCGUCCCCGGCCACGGGCUCCGAACCGCCUGCGUCCGUGCCUGUCGAAUCGGAUUGGGCACCGAUCAGGGAGUUUUCCUCCGCGGAUAUCUUUCAGCACUCGCCACUGGGCGACGUGCUAAAUUCGUUAAGGUCUUUCUCCUUGUCUGGAGGAUCCUGGCCGAACUAUGUCCGGCUCGAGUGGGAAGCAGACGACGAGGAAAUUCGUUCCCCACCCACCACCCACUAAAUAGCCACUGUCGACGACUUAACCGACAUGCUCGAUUUCGGCUCCGAAGAAAUCGACGAUAUAGACGACGAUAGAGGAGACGAACAGGAACCACCGCCCACAGGGCGCUGGACUGCCACCUCAUCAUAUGAUGUAUACAUGGUGGACACUCCCAAAGAAGGCGAUGGCGACAAGGCAACGGAGGAUAAUCCCUCCAAGAAGCAAUUCAAGAGCCGGCGUCAGCGGCGCCGCUCUAAGUCCCGCCAUAGCAAAAGUAGCGAUACCGGCACAAGAGACAAUAACGCUCCGGAUAGUGCCGAAGACGACGACAAUCCCCUCCAGCCAGACCUCGAGCGGGAGGAUGAACAAGCUAGCCCUCCGGAACAGGAAGCAGACGGAGAAUCAGAGGAUGACAAUUACAUGCCUCUCUCCGAAGACGAGAUGAGCCUCGACGACGAAGAAUUAAUCGCACCUGAGGAUCCUGUCGAGCAGGAGCGCUUCAAGCGCCGGCUUAUAGCCACAGCAAAAAGCCUGAAGAAAAAGCAGCAGCAGCUUCAAGCUGAUCAGGAUCUGCUAGCGGACAGAUGGACCGAAGUCCUGGCGGCCGAGGAAUACGAACUCGAGCGCCCAACCAAAAGUUACCCAAAGCGCAGGUUGCUACCCCAACUUGAGGAGGAAGCACUGAAGCCUGCACUACCAGCGUACGAUGCGGGUGACCGGCCACCUCGCGGCUGAGACAAAGCGGCGUAUCAGCCCGAAGUUCAGCCCGCACCCCGUUGCCAGUCAAACAAAAACACCAAGGCCCGGGGCAAUACGCAGGACCUGCGAGACGUAUUGAAAAACAAAGCAGGACAUACAAGAUCGAUCUACGGAUCACGGGGGCGCGCCCCAACACGUGACAAUGAUCUUCACGCCGGAUACACUAAAAACAAAUCCGGCCGGGCCGAAUACAGCAGACAAGACUCGUAUGAACUGCGUCGCGACAUAGCCCGGCCCAGAGGCGCCGCACACCCCCUAUGCUUCACCGAUGAAGUAAUGGAUUAUGAAUUCCCAGAAGGAUUCAAACCCGUGAACAUUGAGUCAUAUGAUGGCACAACUGACCCCGCGGUAUGGAUCGAGGAUUUCCUCCUCCACAUUCACAUGGCCCGCGGGGACGAUCUACAUGCCAUCAAGUACCUCCCACUAAAACUCAAAGGACCAGCUCGACAUUGGCUGAAUAGCCUGCCAGCAGAUUCCAUCGGCAGUUGGGAGAAUCUGGAAGACGCAUUCCUUGACAACUUCCAGGGCACUUACGUGCGACCACCAGAUGCUGACGACUUCAGCCAUAUAACUCAGCAGCCAGGGGAAUCGGCCAGGAAAUUCUGGACUCGGUUCCUAACUAAAAAGAACCAAAUUGUCGACUGUCCGGAUGCUGAGGCCUUAGCGGCAUUCAAGCUUAACAUCCGUGACGAGUGGCUCGCCCGACACCUCGGCCAAGAGAAGCCAAAGUCCAUGGCAGCCCUCACGACACUCAUGACCCACUUUUGUGCGGGCGAAGACAGCUGGCUGGCUCGCAGCAAUAGCACAUCAAGAAAUACUAGCAAUUCAGAUGCCAAAGAUAGCAACGGCAGACCACGCCGCAGCAAACACAAGCGCCGCAACAACGGCGACAACGCCGAGGACACGGCAGUCAAUGCCGGAUUCAGUGGCUCGAAAUCCGGUCAGCGGAAGAAGCCAUUCAAAAGAAGCAAUCCGGGCCCGUCCAGUUUGGACCACAUACCCGAUCGCUCGUGCCAAAUUCACGUCACCCCCGAUAAGCCAGCCGAUCACACCAACAGAGAAUGCUGGGUGUUCAAGCAGGCCGGCAAGUUGAAUGCCGAAAACAAGGAAAAGGGGCUGCAUAGCGACGAAGAAGAGGAGCCCCGGCCGCUGAACACAGGAGGACAGAAGAAAUUUCCUCCCCAAGUGAAAACAGUAAACAUGAUAUACGCAACCCAUAUUCCCAAGAGGGAACGGAAGCGUGCACUAAGGGACGUCUAUGCAAUGGAGCCAGUCGCCCCAAAGUUCAACCCAUGGUCUUCUUGUCCGAUCACCUUCGAUCGCAGGGACCACCCCACAAGUAUCCGUCAUGGCGGUUCUACCGCAUUGGUCCUUGACCCCAUCAUUGAUGGAUUUCACCUCACCCGAGUCCUUAUGGACGGUGGCAGCAGCCUGAACCUGCUUUAUCAGGAUACAGUGCGCAAAAUGGGUAUAGACCCUUCGAGGAUCAAACCCACUAAAACCACCUUUAAAGGUGUCAUCCCAGAUGUAGAGGCCUGUUGCACGGGCUCAAUCACACUGGAAGUGGUCUUCGGAUCUCCGGAUAACUUCCGAAGCGAGGAGUUAAUCUUCGAUAUCGUCCCGUUCUGGAGUGUCUAUCACACACUGCUCGUACGAACCGCAUUUGCCAAAUUCAAUGCGGUACCGCAUUAUGCAUACCUCAAGCUCAAAAUGCCAGGACCUCGGGGGGUUAUAACAGUCAAUGGAAACACAGAACGCUCGCUCCGCACGGAGGAGCACACUGCGGCCCUCGCAGCAGAGGCACAAAGCAGCCUUUUAAGGCAAACUGCCAAUUCGGCGAUAAAGCCCCCGGACACCUUCAAGCGAGUCCGGAGUAACCUGCAACAGGAUCGCCUGGCACGUUCAGAGCUCGCCUAGCAAUUCGGCCUCCGUCCUAGUCCCAGUCAAGCGACGAAAUCUGUGCCGCGCGUACAUAAUUACGCACUAAAAAUACCAUGGGCAUAGGCGGAGGCACGGCCAGGACAUGUCCCACAAUGCGGCUCAACCGCCCUAGGGUGUGGCACCCCGGCUCAGAGCAACCGGUUUACCAUGCAUUGCCAGCCCAGAGACCAUGUCUUCUGGAAAACACACAACAUCUUGGUACAAAAAACAACCGCUUUAUUGAUGCUAGCAGAACAGAGUUUAUAUUACAACAGUUGUCGAGGCCAAGCGGCACACCCGGUGCGGCUGAACAAUAUGUACAUUAUUUAGUGAACAUAAAGGGGCCUCGAUCAGAACAACUACGUGGCAGCGGAAUAACGUCGUAGCGGAAGCUCCAUAUCACAGGGACACCAAUGUGGACACGAUCUAGACUUGAGCAGCGCUCCUCUCCAACGAGACUUUCCUGAAAUCUGGCAUGACACGCCAGGUCAGUACAUUGAAUGCACUUGCAAGCUCACAACAGGCAUAAUCAUAAUGGCAAACAAUAUCAUGAUACUUAACCAAUUAUUAAUAAUGCAACACUAUAUGUCAAACAUGCUGUGAUCAUGCUCGAACGUCCCUCGGGACAACUUACCCACCGUGAUCAUUCUCGGAUCACAAACAAGCCACCAACGUGGUCUUAACAAGAGUAACUCAUGAUCCUUACGGCGAUCACAACCACGACCAAUAUCUGGUCCCGAAUAUCUCGAUGGCCUUUCUGCCAUCCUCAACAAUGCAAAGUUCAUAGCUUAGUUGCACAUUUUAUUAAACGUUGACUCAUGGUGGGACCUACUACAAGGUGUCCGUGACCGUGGACUCGGCUAUCGAUAGAUUAUACACUCUGCAGAGGUAGCACACUGUACCCACACCACGGAACCCAUGGCCUCGCACUCCCAUUCGGGUGGACCAACGACAUUCCGACGAAACCCUUCCAUUGCCAUGACACUCUCCCGGCCACUCCGACCCAAUCCCCAACAGGCUAGUCCUGGGUGGCCCUGUGUCUACCAAAGACACACCGACCACCGUCGUGGCCAAAACGAUCCCACUCGGGGACCCAGUACCAUAAUCUCAACAACGGGCACACAAGGUUAUGCCUGCUUAUCGGGCCAGGGUAAGCACGAUGUAACCUUCCCUAGUUGGAGGCACCGACCAGAGGCAAUGUCAAUGGACCAAAUCAAGGCCUUCCCACAAAGGCAAAUGUGGUUGCAUUGGGAAAAACUCGAUUCAGCGGCACCAUGACCCAGUCAAUGGUAUAUUCAAGUUGAGUUAUAUUCAGGUUCAACUUAAAAUGAAAAUGACCGGUGUCAUAGCAUGCCAUGAAAUGCAAAACUACACAUUCAUCACUUAAUAACGAAAAUGACCGAUGUCAUCCAUAUUCACACUAAGCAUAAACAUCAACAACUCAUAUUACUUUGCUGAUCAAGAUAACUCACAUAUUAACCAAAAUAUUUUGCAGCAAGUUUUCUUAUUUUCUCAUGCAAGAACGUAACUCCGAUUAAUUUCUCAUAUGAAUAACAAAGAUUUUACCACACACAAAUCCUAAUUUCUUUACCAACCAAGUGAGGUUCAAACAUUUUGUAAGUCAAGUAAAAUGACUAAACAAGUACUUAACAGAAUAUUUUCUAGCAAUUUUUUAUCAUUUUAUUUAUGCAAGAACAUAACUUUAAAUAAUUAAUAACAUGCAUAACAAAAUUUAUUUCUAUCAUCACCACAAAUAGAUCCUAGCUUUGCUUCACCAACUAAGCUAGUUUCCACAUUCUGUAAAUCAAGCAUAUUAACUAGCAAACACUUACCAGAAUAUAAAUAACACAAUAUUUAUUUAAAUGCAUGGAUUAGUCAUUUCAUUCAAGUAAGAAAAUCAUAAAUAUUGAAAUGACACCAUGAAAAUGUUGUCGUGGCUUGCCUUAGUGCAGAUGAGGUUCACAAGCCUUCUGGUGAUCCUCAAGACAAGCCUCACCCUCUGAAAAUAAUUUUAAACACAAAAAGAAAAUAUCAAGAACACUUCUGAAAAUCACCAGAAAUUCUAAACAGCUCAGAAAAAUCUCAUCUUUGGUGAGCUGCUAGAUUUCUUUGCAAAGAACAAGAUGCAAAAAGAAUCAAUUCAUUUGGAUUUAUGGUUGAGGAGUUAUGGCUGUUUGAAGUGUUCUGUAAAUUCAAAUGAAUUUGAAUAAAAUUAAGUAGGCUGGGGGGGUGACGUCGAAGGCGUAAAGCUCAGGGGCGCCACCACUCGUACCGCUUCACGCGCGUACAGAGUGGCUGACUAGCGGGCCCCGCUAGUCAGGUUAGGAGGAGGGGGAGAAGGAAACAGAGGGAGUCGCAGCUCCGUCGGAGCUCUCUUCGGCGACGAGGACUCCUUAGCCAAAAUGAGAGGGAGGGAUGGCAAGAGGGGGUUGAGGCGCACCUGCCCGUACCCGUAGCGUAGCUGGGGGCGGUCGGAAAGCGUUGGAAUCAACCACGCAAGCGGAGGCAGAACACGGUGGUCGCCGGAGAUGAAGAAGACGGCGAGCAGAGGCAACUCCACUGGCUCCAGAGGGGCGGAACGGCUUCACUGGAGAGGGGCGGAGGCCCUGGAAGGGUCGCCCUGGCCUGGGAGGGGCUGGAGCUACCGCGGCGACCAGAGGGGAUCGCCGGCGAGCUCGAGCUCGGGGACGGCGGCCCGAGGCCUGCCCGGCCGGGCUACGGCUUCCUACUCGCUUGUGGGGGGUAUGGGAGUGCUGGAUGGUGCUCGAGGAGGCUGGGGGCGGCUCCAUUUAUAGGCGAGUGGCGAGGGGGUUUCGGGCUCCGCCGGUGGACACCUGUCCACGGCGCCCGGCGACGAGCGGCGUUAGUGAGAGGGGAAGAAAGCGACGCAGCUCACGCGGCAACUGUUGGCAGACGGAGACGAGCACAGGAACGAGGAGAAGGCGACGAGCACAGUGCGCACCGCACUGUUGGGUUGGCCGGACCAUGCCCGUGCUCGCCGCGGCGAGCUCCGGCAUCGGCGAGCGCCAGAGGGGAGUUAAGGGAGUUGAGACGAAGAUGGUGGCGAAGUUUGGUGCGCUACGGCAGCCGGGGAAGCGAGCACACGCGAAACAGAGCGCUCGGCGGCACUCAGAGCGCGUCGACACGCAUGCCAGCACCCCUGGACGAACGCGGUCACCGCGUGGACUAUGACAUCAGGCCGAGCUAAGCCUAAACUUCAUGUCUGGCAUGUUGUUCGUGGUAGUUUGAGAUGUUACCACACUUUGGUUUGGAUCCAGGUGCAGUAGAGAAGUUUUUACACGCCAGGUAAGUUUCUGGUCAGUAACUUUGAGAGGUUACUGAGGUCAAAUGGCUGGGGGUUAGAGGCUGUGCUUUGGAGGUUAGCCAAGAGUUACUAAGGUGAAAAUGCACAAGAAAACCCAGGCACAAUGGAGCAAGUAAAAUGGUAGUUGCUGUAGAAACCACCAUUUCUGUCCAGAACAGAAAAUAUUUUCUAUAGCAAAAAUAUUCCAAAAAGUGAUGAAAUAUUUUCACUCAGGAAGGUGCCCUAGGGUUCAAAGAAUAUUUGUGAAUUAUCUCAGAAUUUUGUAGGCCAUAAAAAUUAGGGUUGCCUUGGAGCAUACUGAUCUGGCUAGGGUUUUUGAGAGAAAAUGAUUAUUUUUCUUUUAAGAAAAAUAUUCCAAAGAUUAUUUUGGGAUGGAUCAGAAGGGGAAUGAUGAUCAGAGAGGGAAAUGGAGCACUUGGGUGAAAGCCAAGAGUACCCAAGUGUUUAAGUCCAUAUGAAAAGAUUCAAAAACUCCAAGUUUCAAAUUUAAUCCAAAUAAAAAUCAAGCAAAUGAGAGAGGGCAAAAAUCAGGCUGUCACAAACCUCCCCCACUUAGAAUGAAUCUCGUCCUCAAGAUUCGGUUGCUUGGGAAAACCACUCUGGAUAAUGUGACUGUGGAAAUUCUUCCCGCUCCCAAGUUGAUUCUGACUCUGUGUGAUGCUCCCACUGAACUUUGUAAAAUUUCCUUACUUUACUGCGAGUGACCCUUUCCAUCUGAUCCAAAAUUCUGAACGGUCUCUCGUCAUAAGUUAAAUCAUUUGCCAACUCUACCUCAGCCAUAGCAGUCCUUUUCUCAGGCGGGGAUAUGCAUCGUCUCAAUCAUGAUACAUGAAACACAUUGUGCACGUCCGCCAACUCAGCGGGUAGUUCUAAUUGAUACGCAACAGUACCUACUCGAGACAUAACUGGGAAUGGACCGAUAAAUCUGGGGGCCAACUUUCCACGAGUCUGAAAUCUCUUGACUCCUUUCAUAGGAGUGACUCAGAGGUAUACGUCCUCUCCGGGUUCAAAACUUAUCUGUCGGUGCUUUGCAUCAUAAUAACUUUUCUGUCGAGAUUUGGCUAAUUGCAAUCUGUCUCUGAUUUCCUUAACUUGUUUCUCAGCUUCCAUCAUGAGAUCUGUUCCGAAGAUACGGCUAUCUCCAGUUUGAGACCAAUUUAAAGGAGUGCGGCACUUACGGCCAUACAGAGCUUCAUAUGGUGACAUUUUCAGACUGGUCUGGAAGGUGUUCUUAUAGGAAAACUCGGCAUAUGGCAAAUAGUCUUCCCAUUUGGGUCCUUGGGCUAAAGCACAGGCUCGCAACAUAUCUUUGAGUAUUUGAUUUACCCUUUCUGUCUGUCCAUCCGUGUGAGGAUGAUAAGCAGUACUAUAUUUCAGUGCUGUCCCCAAGGCUUGAUGGAGGCGUGACCAAAAAGCGGAGGUAAAUAGGGAACCUCGGUCGGAAGUGAUAGUUCGGGGUACUCCAUGCAGACUGACUAUUCUGGAUACAUACAGCUGUGCAAGUUGAUCUGCCCUGUAUCUGGUGCUGAUUGGAAUGAAGUGAGCGACCUUGGUUAGGGUGUCCACUAUAACCCAGAUUGCAUCAUUGCCUCGCUGAGUCUUAGGCAAUCCCGUAAUGAAAUCCAUACAAAUGUCAUCCCAUUUCCAUUGUGAAACCGGCAGCGGUUGGAGUUCGGCUGGCUUCUGAUGCUCUGCCUUCACCUUGUUGCAUAUGUCGCAACAGGCUACAAAAUAGGCAAUGUCUUUCUUCAUUCCAUCCCACCAGAAUAUUUGUCUAAGGUCCUCAUACAUUUUCGUACCUCCCGGGUGAAUGGAAUAUGAGGAUUCGUGUGCUUCUGAUAGAAUUUUCUUCCUUAAAUCCGGUUGAUUGGGUACACAAAUCCGUCCACGGAAUCGUAGGGUGCCGAAUUUGUCCUUGAAGAAAUCUGGGGUCUGUUCUGCCAUCUGGCCCUGGGCACGUCUUUGCAGCUCGGUGUCAGCUGGCUGGGCCUUGCGGAUCUCUAUCUCAAGUGUGGGUGUAACUUCCAAAAUAUUAGCAAGGCCAGCAUCCACUAUGACCAAGUUGAGCUGAGCGAUCUCCUCUUGGAGUUCGGGCAGCAAGGAUUUCAAUAUGACAUUUAAGCUGACGGGCUUUCGACUGAGUGCAUCGGCAACUACGUUGGCCUUGCCCGGGUGGUAAUUUAUUCGAAGGUCAUAAUCCUUGACCAACUCUAGCCAUCUUCGCCGACGAAGGUUUAAAUCUGGCUGAGUGAAGAUGUAUUUGAGACUCUUGUGGUCGGUAAAAAUUUGGCACCGUUUUCCAAUGAGGUAGUGUCUCCAAAUUUUUAAUGCAUGAACCACCGCAGCCAAUUCCAAAUCAUGAGUAGGAUAAUUUCCCUCAUGGGGUCGUAGCUGUCGCGAUGCAUAUGCUACUACCUUGUUGUCUUGCAUAAGUACGCAACCAAUACCUUGCCUGGAGGCGUCACAAUACACAUCAAAACUGCGAUAAAUGUCUUGAAGAGUCAAUACAGGUGCGGUUGUCAGACGUAUCUUUAACUCAUUAAAACUUUUCUCACAGUCCUCCAUCCAUUCAAACUUCUUAUCCUUUUUAGCAGCUCCGUCAUGGGUUUAGCAAUCUUGGAAAACCCUUCAAUAAAACGACGGUAAUAUCCAGCCAAUCCGAGAAAACUACGGAUCUGCAUCACAGUCGUGGGCGGCAUCCAAUCGAGCACAUCCUUUACUUUGCUCGGGUCCACGGCUAUACCUUCGGCGGAUAGUACAUGUCCGAGAAACCCAACUUGCUUGAGCCAAAAUUCGCAUUUACUGAAUUUGGCGUAUAGCCGAUGGUCGCGGAGUUGUUGUAGCACUGCUCGGAGGUGAUCCUUGUGCUCUUCUUCACCCUUGGAGUAAAUGAGGAUGUCAUCGAUGAAGACUACCAUGAAUUUUUCGAGGAAGUCCAUGAAUACUUUGUUCAUCAUAUGCAUGAAGAAAGCAGGGGCAUUGGUGAGACCAAAGGACAUCACGGUAUAUUCGUAAAGACCGUACCGAGUAGUGAAUGCGGUCUUAGGAAUAUCCUCCUUUUUAAUCUUGAGCUGAUGAUAUCCGGUCCGUAAAUCGAUCUUAGAGAAUACUUUAGCCCCACUGAGCUGAUCAAACAGAUCAUCAAUCCUUGGCAGCGGAUAUUUAUUUUUGAUAGUGACCUCAUUCAGCUGGCGGUAAUCUACGCACAUACGGAGACUGCCAUCCUUUUUGUCCACGAAAAUAGCAGGUGAUCCCCAUGGUGAAGAGCUGGGACGAAUAUAUCCUUUCUGGAGCAAUUCAUCAAGCUGUUUCUUUAGCUCCACUAAUUCUGAUGAGGGCAUCCGGUAAUACUUCUUGUAUAAUGGUGCAGUCCCGGGCACAAGAUCUAUUGCAAAUUCCAGUUCCCGAUCUGGUGGCAUGCCUGGAAGUUCUUCUGGAAAUACAUCAGGGUACUCACUGACCACAUGAAUAAAUUCCAAUUUAGCCACAGCGGUGCAAACCAAUUCUUGCUUGGGUAUAUUCUUGCGAGCGUAGAAUUUGAUAGUCUGCCCAUUCAGACUGGUCAAAGUGACUUCUUGGGUUGCGCAGUUUAUGCAAACUUGAUAUUUGGUCAACCAAUUCAUACCCAAUAUAAUAUCCAACUUUUCAGACUCAAUGAUUAUCAGAGAGGUUGGAAAGUAGACUCCGUUGAUAUUGAUUUCCAGAUCACGGCAGGCCAGAUUGCUCUUGAUUAUAGAUCCUGGGGUUUGUACCAGCAUAUUUUUUCCCAAAAGCGUGCAAGGAAAGUUUUUUUGGGCAGCAAAACUCCGAGAAAUAAAAGAAUGGGAAGCCCCAGAGUCAAAUAAAAUUACGGCAGGUAUGUCAUUAACAGAAAACAUACCAAUGACGACUUCUGGCUUCUCUUGGGCUUCAUCGGCGGAGAUAUGAUGCACGUGCCCAGUGAAGUUUUGCUGGAUUGGCCAUGACUCCAUAAAGUUGACUUGUGGCCUGAUUAGGGCAUUCGCCUUGUUGUUCUUGGGGCACUAUCUGGCAUAAUGUCCGUUCUGUCCACAAUUAAAGCAAGAAUUAUUGCGCUGACGCUCUUCAUGUAUUGGGUUGGUCAUGACAUUCUUGACUUGAGUGGUGGUCUUGUUAACAUUCUGCUGCCAAUUUGGCUUGUAUUCCACCUGAGUCUGCUGCCAGGUAUGAGCCUUUUGCACUGGUUGCCCAUCCUUCUUUGGCUCAAACUUACGCUUGUUGUCGUUGUUAACAGGCCUAUUAUCUGCUAUAAGCUUGUGCUCUCGUUCAGCAAUGAAAGCCUUGUUCACCAGAGUUUGGAAAUCUAGGAAAUCAAGCAUACUAAGAGUACACCGGAGUUGCGGAUUUAGGCCUCCAAGAAAUCUGUCAAUCUUCCUUUCUUCGGUGGCCACGUCAUAAAGAGAGUAACGGGCCAGAUGAUUGAAUUUUUGCAAAUAUUCAGUCACAGACUGAUUUCCUUGGAUGAGUGCGAGAAAUUCACGCUGCUUGGUCUUCAUAACUCCAGUAGGGAUAUGAUAUUUUCGGAACUGAUCCUUAAACUUUUCCCAGGUGAUUUCCUCAUCAACCGGUCACAUGGCUUUUGUAUUUUCCCACCAUAUGGCAGCUGCGCCUUCAAGGUAAUGAGUUGCAAAUGGAACUUUAUCAUUUUCUUCAGUACGAGCAAUCUCAAGAUUUUUCUCAAUGGUGCGCAACCAAUCGUCUGCAUCCAAUGGGUCAACAAUCUGACUGAAGCUGGGUGGCUUGGUCCUCUGAAAAUCUGACAGCUUUGAGUGAUGACCGUUCUGAUUUCCAUUCGGUCCAACCAUAGCUUGCACACUUCUUAAUAUUUCAAUCAGAUCAUUGUUCCUUCUUUUCUCAAACAUACACAGAAUUUGCUCGGUGGAGGGCGGAUUAGGCGGUGGAGGUGGUGGCGGAACGUACGGCUUGGGAGAAUGUCCUGCCUGUCGUGCGGAACGACGAACAGGAGUUCCCUCACGAAUGUUGCUACUGCUGCCUCCCCGCGUCAUCCUAUUGUGGAUUUUGCCCAAGACAACGCAAUCGAGAUGAGAAAUACCCAAGAAUAAAAUUGGGGAAAAGCCAGCAACAAAUCCCGGAAGAAAACAAAAGAGCAAAGAAAAUACGGCGAAUAAUGUCCCAACAUAAUUAUACACAGACUCAUACAUGAAAGAUAAACAACAUGCCAGGUUCAACUACUCUCAUACAUGCAACGAAACAUCAUGACUCGUACGACUACAUUCGUACAUCAUCCGGACGACUGCAAAUACUCAAAGAUACUACUACUCCGCUGGUGCUGCAGUGUCCUCCCCUGAAGCGGUCUCGGAUCCUGAACUGACGUGGUUAACGGAAACCUCCGGGUUAAAGGUAACACGACGGCGCUGCCUCGAGGGCUCUCCCUCAGGGGCAGGGGUAGGAUGAAGCAUCGGGGCUACAGGAGUAGCGAGAAGUGAAACCCACUCGGCAGGAGUACUGAGAGGAUUCACGGCCGAGACGCCCGUGCUACUCGGAGGAGUAACUGGCGAAAUAGGGGAGCUAGAACUGGCUGGAAUAUAAUGGGUAAAUCCCAGAGAAGAUGGAGUAGUGGCAGAUCUAGUAGUGACUAAAGCAGCGGCUAAAGCAGUACGGGCACGAGUCAGCUCUCGAGCCAGCUCGUGGAUCAUCAGAUAGCUAGCAGUGACAUAACGAGCAAGGUGGCUAGCAACGCUAUCAGACUCCGGAUCAAUGAUAGGGAAACGGACACGACCGUUGUCGUGCAGAGAUGGGUAGUAAUAGAAACCUGGGUGGUUCUGCAUUCGGACCUCGUUGUAGCGAAGCUCGACAAGGACCUCGAAUGCAGCAAACUGGACAGCCUGAGAAGCGGUGGAGGCGUAUCCGCUCCGAGAAGUACGAGUGUAAGAGCUGGAAUCGGAACUAGUGCGCAGAGUGACCACUGCGUGAUACUCAUACACUGAGUCAGCUAGAUGCUCCCGAUACACACGAUAGACUGGGUCGUCUCCGAGAGGGUACAUCCGACGCCACACGUUGCGAAGGAGGUGCGGUGACAUGUACGGCAUCAGCUGCAACUGGCAUGGAUACGGCACCGGAGCCAUCUACACCCACAACCAUUAGCAGGUUAGCAUAAAUUUUUUAAGCCAAAUGCAUGCAAUGCAACAACCAGCAAAAAUUACUACCGGCACUCAACUUAAACUCGUAUCUAACAUCCAGUUAACACGUCGUAGUCUAGCAUGGCCUACAGUCAGCGCGGCUCUGAUACCAAGCGUUGUGGCAUCCCGGCUCAGAGCGACCGGUUUACCAUGCAUUGCCAGCCCAGAGACCAUGUCUUCUGGCAACACACACCAUCUUGGAACAGAAAACAACCGCUUUAUUGAUGCUAGCGGAACAGAGUUUAUAUUACAACAGCUGUCGAGGCCAAGCGGCACACCCGGUGCGGCUGAACAAUAUGUACAUUAUUUAGUGAACAUAAAGGGGCCUCGAUCAGAACAACUACGUGGCAGCUGAAUAACGCCGUAGCGGAAGCUCCUUAUCACAGGGACACCGAUGUGGACACGAUCUAGACUUGAGCAGCGCUCCUCUCCAACGAGACUUUCCUGAAAUCUGGCAUGACACGCCAGGUCAGUACAUUGAAUGCACUUGCAAGCUCACAACAGGCAUAAUCAUAAUGGCAAAAAUAUCAUGAUACUUAACCAAUUAUUAAUAAUGCAACACUAUAUGUCAAACAUGCUGUGAUCAUGCUCAAAUGUCCCUCGGGACAACCUACCCGCCGUGAUCAUUCUUGGAUCACAAACAAGCCACCAACAUGGUCUUAACAAGAGUAACUCGUGAUCCUUACGACGAUCACAACCACGACCAAUAUCUGGUCCCGAAUAUCUCGAUGGCCUUUUUGCCAUCCUCAACAAUGCAAAGUUCAUAGCUUAGUGUGCACAUUUUAUUAAACGUUGACUCAUGGUGGGACCUACUACGAGGUGUCCGUGACCGUGGACUCGGCUAUCGAUAGAUUAUACACUCUGCAGAGGUAGCACACUGUACCCACACCACGGAACCCAUGGCCUCGCACUCCCAUUCGGGUGGACCAACGACAUUCCGACAAAACCCUUCCAUUGCCAUGACACUCUCCCGGCCACUCCGACCCAAUCCCCAACGGGCUAGUCCUGGGUGGCCCCGUGUCUACCAAAGACACACCGACCACCGUCAUGGCCAAAACGAUCCCACUCGGGGACCCGGUACCAUAAUCUCAAAACCGGGCACACAAGGUUAUGCCUGCUUACCGGGCCAGGGUAAGCACGACGUAACCUUCCCUAGUUGGAGGCACCGACCAGAGGCAAUGUCAAUGGACCGAAUCAAGGCCUUCCCACAAAGGCAAAUGUGGUUGCACUAGGAAAAACUCGAUUCAGCGGCACCAUGAACCAGUCAACGGUAUAUUCAAGUUGAGUUAUAUUCAGGUUCAACUUAAAAUGAAAAUGACCGGUGUCAUAGCAUGCCAUGAAAUGCAAAACUACACAUUCAUCACUUAAUAACGAAAAUGACCGAUGUCAUCCAUAUUCACACUAAGCAUAAACAUCAACAACUCAUAUUACUUUGCUGAUCAAGAUAACUCACAUAUUAACCAAAAUAUUUUGCAGCAAGUUUUAUUAUUUUCUCAUGCAAGAACGUAACUCCGAUUAAUUUCUCAUAUGAAUAACAAAGAUUUUACGACACACAAAUCCUAAUUUCUUUACCAACCAAGUGAGGUUCAAACAUUCUGUAAGUUAGGUAAAAUGACUAAACAAGUACUUAACAGAAUAUUUUCUAGCAAAUUUUUAUCAUUUUAUUUAUGCAAGAACAUAACUUUAAAUAAUUAAUAACAUGCAUAACAAAAUUUAUUUCUAUCAUCACCACAAAUAGAUCCUAGCUUUGCUUCACCAACUAAGCUAGUUUCCACAUUCUGUAAAUCAAGCAUAUUAACUAGCAAACACUUAACAGAAUAUAAAUAACACAAUAGUUAUUUAAAUGCAUGGAUUAAUCAUUUCAUUCAAGUAAGAAAAUCAUAAAUAUUGAAAUGACACCAUGAAAAUGUUGUUGUGGCUUGCCUUAGUGCAGAUGAGGUUCACAAGCCUUCUGGUGAUCCUCAAGACAAGCCUCACCCUUUGAAAAUAAUUUUAAACACAAAAAGAAAAUAUCAAGAACACUUCUGAAAAUCACUAGAAAUUCUAAACAGCUCAGAAAAAUCUCAUCUUUGGUGAGCUGCUAGAUUUCUUUGAAAAGAACAAGAUGCAAAAAGAAUCAAUUCAUUUGGAUUUAUGGUUGAGGAGUUAUGGCUGUUUGAAGUGUUCUGUAAAUUCAAAUGAAUUUGAAUAAAAUUAAGUAGGCUGGGGGGGUGACGUCGAAGGCGUAAAGCCCAGGGGCGCCACCACUCGUACCACUUCGCGCGCGUACAGAGUGGCUGACUAGCAGGCCCCGCUAGUCAGGUUAGGAGGAGGGGAAGAAGGAAACAGAGGGAGUCGCAGCUUUGCCAGAGCUCUCGCCGGCGACGAGGACUCCUUGGCCAAAAUGAGAGGGAGGGAUGGCAAGAGGGGGUUGAGGCGCACCUGCCCGUACCCGUAGCGUAGCUAGGGGCGGUCGGACGGUGUCGGAAUCAACCUCGCAAGCGGAGGCAGAACACGGUGGUCGCUGAAGAUGAAGAAGACAGCGAGCAGAGGCAACUCCAGGGGCUCCAGAGGGGCGGAACGGCUUCACUGGAGAGGGGCGGAGGCCCUGGAAGGGUCGCCCUGGCCUGGGAGGGGCUGGAGCUACCGCGGCGACCAAAGGGGAUCACUGGCGAGCUCGAGCUCGGGGACGGCGGCCCGAGGCCUGCCCGGCCGGGCUACGGCUUCCUACUCGCUUGUGGGGUGUGUGGGAGUGCUGGAUGGUGCUCGAGGAGGUUGGGGCGGCUCCAUUUAUAGGCGAGCAGCGAGGGAGUUUCAGGCUCCGCCGGUGGACACCUGUCCACGGUGCCCGGUGACGAGCGGCGUCAGUGAGAGGGGAAGAAAGCAACACAGCUCACGCGGCAACUAUUGGCGGACGGAGACGAGCACAGGAACGAGGAGAAGGCGACGAGCACAGUGCGCACCACACUGUUGGGUUGGCCGGACCGUGCCCGUGCUCGCUGCGGCGAGCUCCGGCAUCGGCGAGCGCCGGAGGGGAGUUAAGGGAGUUGAGACAAAGAUGGUGGCGAAGUUUGGCGCGCUACGGCAGUCAGGGAAGCGAGCACGCGCGAAACAGAGCGCUCGGCGGCACUCAGAGCGCGUCGACACACAUGCCAGCACCCCUGGAUGAACGCGGUCACCGCGUGGACUAUGACAUCAGGCCGAGCUAAGCUUAAACUUCAUGUCUGGCGUGUUGUCCGUGGUAGUUUGAGAUGUUACCAUGCUUUGGUUUGGAUCCAGGUGCAGUAGAGAAGUUUUUACACGCCAGGUAAGUUUGUGGUCAGUAACUUUGAGAGGUUAUUGAGGUCAAAUGGCUGGGGGUUAGAGGCUGUGCUUUGGAGGUUAGCCAAGAGUUACUAAGGUGAAAAUGCACAAGAAAACCCAGGCACAAUGGAGCAAGUAAAAUGGUAGUUGCUGUAGAAACCACCAUUUCUGUCCAGAACAGAAAAUAUUUUCUGUAGCAAAAAUAUUCCAAAAAGUGAUGAAAUAUUUUCGCUCAGGAAGGUGCCCUAGGGUUCAAAGAAUAUUUGUGAAUUAUCUCAGAUUUUCCCGGGCCAUAAAAAUUAGGGUUGCUUUGGAGCAUACUGAUCUGGCUAGGGUUUUUCAGAGAAAAUGAAUAUUUUUCUUAAAAGAAAAAUAUUCCAAAGAUUAUUUUGGGAUGGAUCAGAAGGGGAAUGAUGAUCAGAGAGGGAAAUGGAGCACUUGGGUGAAAGCCAAGAGUACCCAAGUGUUUAAGUCCAUAUGAAAAGAUUCAAAAACUCCAAGUUUCAAAUUUAAUCCAAAUAAAAAUCAGGCAAAUGAGAGAGGGCAAAAACCAGGCUGUCACACAGGGGCUGUAUACCCUUAUCAUUUUCUCUCUUUCAGGACCUUACUCGCUGGAAGCCCUUCUCGGAAGUCUGAUUGCCGGACGCAUUACGGGAAGGAAAUACCAAGGAAGCAAGAAGUUCUGACAUACAAGGGAAUCUUGAGGUGGUCUUUGAUAACGAUCGAAAUACCUAUUUUAAAUACCCAUACGCAGCUUGCCCUUGGAUAGGACAUGUCAAAUAGUCCUACUUUUUGCUUUUUGCACUACUUGUAUCCAUACGCCUCGACGUAUUACUUAAUAACAAUGCAUAGCGUCAGUCUACUAUUGCAUUACCCUUUCUUAUUUUCCUUGUCUGCUCAUUUACGACAAAUCGCACCCGUACAUUCUGGUACGACUAGCGCGCCAGGGGCUUCAGCGUACCCCAUAACAAGGCGUGAAAAGUCCGAACACUUUCGACAGUGCGGCACCCCGAACUUAUAGCAUUAUAUGCAUCAGCUCCGAAUCAUGUCUUGGGCCAACAGUUGGGUUUGCCCGGCUCCCAUGUUUUGGUACCUUACGUUCCACUAUAUCAGCUAACGUAUCACUGGGAGAACUACUGCGAUUGUGUCCCGGUUCUUUCGGACGAACACCUCAGUAGAGAAAGCCGAAAACUGACUGUCAUGAUAAGGCGAGAGUUGGUCGCUGUUCGAGAGGUCUCAAGUCCUUAAAGAUUUUUUCCGCUUCGGGUGAGGAGUCGGCCUUGUCCGAUUUAGGCGUAUAUAGCGCCCCAAUUCGGUCUUCCGAAUACUAGGGGCUUCGCCAAAAUUUAAAAUUGCAGACUUCUAUGGCUAAGUGAGAGUGAUAAAGCUUUAUAGUCCGAUUGCCUGGUUCGUUGUGCUGAACACCUCCUUCGAAGGACCCAAAAUUGGGAUAAAGAGUGCUUAGGUUUAUCCCGAACACCCCAGUACUAGUUACAUGGGGGCAGAAGCCGACGACUAGCCAACUCUCAGAUCUUAUAAACGGCCGCACAGAAGGUAAUAUUUUAAAUCAACAAAGCGUUAUAUAGCGCACAUGAACUCGUUUUCAUAUUACAGGAUCACAAGAGUAUAUUCAUUCAAAUAUUACAUCAUCCUUAGCACAUUCCCCCGCCACAAGGCGGGCACCCUUCAGGACACUAUCAUAAUACAUUUCGGGGUGGCGAUGCUCCUUGCCCUCCGGCGGCCCCUCCUUCACCAGCUUCUCGGCGUCCAUCUUCGCCCAGUGCACUUUCACACGGGCAAAGGCCCUGCACGCACCCUCAAUGUAGACGGACCACUUUAUGACUUCAAGCCGUGGGCACGCAUUCACAAGCCGCCUCACCAGACCGAAGUAGCUACCAGGCUGGGGCUUGCCAGGCCACAUCCGGACUAUGAGGCCCCUCAUAGCCAGUUCGGCCGCCUUGUGCAGCUCGACCAGUUGCUUCAACUGGUCGCUCAGGGGCACCGGAUGUUCGGUCCCAGUAUACUGAGACCAGAAUAGCUUCUCCGUCGAUCUCCCUUCCUCAGCCUGGUAGAACUCUGCGGCAUCCGAUACGCUACGGGGCAGAUCUGCGAACGCUCCUGGAGAGCUCUGAAUACGGGUAAGUAAAAGAAAAGUUUCCUUUGCAUGCUUGCUUUGCAUAAUGAAUGCCUUACCCGCCGCUAUCUUCUUCACCGCCUCAAUUUCCUGGAGGGCCUUAUGGGCUCCGGCUUGGCAUUCUAUGCGCUCUCGAGGGCCUUCUCAAGCUCGGACCCUUGCGUCUUAGAGUCACGCUCCAGGGACUCAUAUUUCUUGGCGAGAUGCCGGAGCUCUUGCUGCACCUCGCCACUUGGGCCUCUUAUUUCUCUCGCUCGAUGCGCUCCUUGGCCGCUUUGUCUUCGGCCUCGGAUAGCGCCUUCUGCAGGGCCGCCACUUUGGUCGUGGCCCCUAGCAAAAUUCAUGAUGAUCCUAUUACUCCAAAAUCAAAUUUUUUCUUUAUCAAUAUAUAGACGGGGCAUCACUUACCUUUGUCCUCUUCAAGCUGCCUCUUGGUAAGGCCGAGCUCUUCCUUGGACCGCUCAAGGUCCCGCUUCAGUGCGGCGACCUCCGCAGUACAUGCGGCAGCGGCCAGCAGUGAAGCCUGCACAUGCACAUAGACACAUUCCGAUUAGACUCCUGCGGUUAUUAUUAGAUCCUCUAUUCGGCCUUUCUUUGCGAACGCCAAACAAAGCAUCAGGGGCUACUGUCUAUGCGGUAACAUUCUCUUAUAAUCUGACUACUUACCUCAAAGCCUGUUAGGAGGCCGGCACAGGCUUCAGUCAGUACGCUUUUGGCGGACUGAACCCUCUUGAUUACCGCACUCAUAAUAGUGCGGUGCUCUUCGUCAAUGGAAGCGCCACGAAGCGCUUCCAGCAAGUUGUCCGGCGCCUCUGGAUGGAUAGAGGCCUUCGGCACGGAUGGCUUGCCCCUCUUAGUGAGGGGUCGCCUGACAGAGUCGGGAGCCACUGGAGGUUCCGGCGCAGUGUUCGGCUGGGGGGCAAACUUGCUGCCCCCGUCAUUAGAACCCAUGGGAGUCUUGCCCCCCAUGCGCCUAGAGUCCGGGAUGCCGCCUUGGCGCGCCUCCAGGACUAUCUCCCCUUGGAUCAAUACCCUUUUAGACAACACCUCGGCGUCAUCCGUAGGGUGGGGAGAGGUGGCUGUCGGGAGCGAAUCGCUGUUCAUCGCCGACGGGCCCAAAGACCCAUCCGAAGAGGAUACGUCGAUAUGGGCUUUGGGCGGACUGCACGAUCAUGUUUGACAUGAUAUAAGGAACAAUAAUACAAAACAUACCAACAUUAUUAUGGUAUCCGGAUACUUACGACUUCGCCAGGGGCUUGUCCCUGAGCAACCACUCCUCGUCGCUGUAAGCGGCUUUUGUGGAGUGGUCCGGAGGGAGGGUCCUUCCCUUUAUGGACCCUUCGGCCUCCCCAGAUGGGGCGGCCUUCCUUUUCUUUUCCCCCCCGGAUGGGGGGGGAGAGCUUUCUUCUUCCUCCUCCUCGUUUUCGUGGGAGGAGUGCGCCUCGGUGUUUUCGAACGAUGAGUCCGAUAUAACCUUACGCCGGAGACCCUUCCUGGUCCCCGUGGCCUUCUUCUCCGGCACCUCAUAAGGCGUCGGAACCAGCAUCUCUGUUAGAAGAGCAUCCGCUGGAUCUUCGGGCAGGGGAGCCGGACAAUCGAUCUGCUCCGCUGUCUCUACCCAGUCCUAUUCAGUGGCGUGAAGGCUUAGAUCCUGCGCAUGGUUAUACUGGGGAAGAGAACAUCUUAUAAGAUAUAAAAAACUUACCGGAUUGGCAGGGCGCUUCACGCUGAGUCCGCGGUCCUCGGUAAGGGAAGGAGGUACCUCGGCACCCUUGAACAGCACCUUCCAGACGUCCUGGUGCGUCGUGCCGAAGAGCUCGCACAGCGUCUGGUGCUUUACCAUGGCGCCUCCGCACUCCGCUUGCUGGCCAACCACCACCUUCGGUUUAACAUUGAAGGUCUUCAGCCACAGGCCGAAGUGGGGCUUGAUGCGGAGGAAGGCCUCGCACACGACGAUAAACACCGAGAUGUUGAGGAUGAAAUUGGGGGCCAGAUCGUGAAAGUCCAGCCCGUAGUAGAACAUGAGCCCACGGACAAAUGGGUGGAGGGGAAAUCCCAGUCCGCGGACGAAGUGGGUAAGAAAAACCACCCUCUCAUGGGGUUUUGGAGUAGGGACAAUCUGCCUUGCAUCUGGCAGCCGGUGCGCGAUAUCCGCGGCCAGGUAUCCGGCUCCCCGUAGCUUUGUGAUGUCCUCCUCCGUAACGGAGGAGACCAUCCACUUGCCUCCCGCUCCGGACAUGCUUGGAGUGGUUUGAGGAGAAAAACGCGAACUUGGGUGCUGGAGCUCGAGUGCGCAAGAAUGGAUGAGCAAGGAGGAAGAAGGUGUGGGUGAAAAGGAUGAAUCCUUGUCCCUUUAUAAGGGCGGAAGAAACUAUGCGCCUCCCCACCUGCCUGGUAAACUCGCUUAUUCCCCAAACGCCGUAAUUGAUGGCGCGGUUGGGUUACCCACACCCGUAUUGAUGAGAAUCCCGUGCAAAGGGGACACGAUCUCUGCUUUGACAAGAUGUGCCAAGAAAACCGCCUCGCAAUAUGUGCAGUGGCUGGUUGUGAAAAAACGGUUCGAAUAAUGACCAGGCCGCGGUAUGAUGUCAUGCCCCAGAACGUGUCAGCAGAUUAGAUUGGUGGAAAUAUUAUUCUCUCUACGGUGGUAUGUGGAAUUUGUUUUGCAGAGCCGGACACUAUCCUUGUGUUCAAAAUCUUCUAUGGAGUAUUCGGAGGAAGAACCCGCCUUGCAAUGCCGAAGACAAUCUCCGCGCCGGACUCAUCGUCAUUGAAGCCUGGUUCAGGGGCUACUGAGGGAGUCCUGGAUUAGGGGGUCCUCGGACACCCGGACUAUAUCCUUUGGCCGGACUGUUGGACUGUGAAGAUACAAGAUUGAAGACUCCGUCCCGUGUCCGGAUGGGACUCUCCUUAGCGUGGAAGGCAAGCUUGGCAAUACGGAUAGGUAGAUCUCCUCCCUUGUAACCGACUCCGUGUAACCCUAGCCCCCUCCGGUAUCUAUAUAAACCGGAGGGUUUAGUCCGUAGGACAAGAAGAACAACAAUCAUACCAUAGGCUAGCUUCUAGGGUUUAGCCUCUACGAUCUCGUGGUAGAUCAACUCUUGUAAUACUCAUAUCAUCAAGAUCAAUCAAGCAGGAAGUAGGGUAUUACCUCCAUCGAGAGGGCCCGAACCUGGGUAAACAUUGUGUCCCCCGCCUCCUGUUACCAUCCGCCUUAGACGCAUAGUUUGGGACCCCCUACCCGAGAUCCGCCGAUUUUGACACCGACAGUGGUGCUGAUGGCGCGCCGGCGGUGAAGACCGCACCGCCCCAAAGGCCAGUGCGCGUGGUGGAGGCCCUCCUUCUUCUUACUCUAGGCUUGGCCCUUCUCUUCUCUAUGGAGGUUGAAGGAAAUAUGCCCUAGAGGAAAUAAUAAAGUUGUUAUUUAUAUUUCCUUAUAUCAUGAUAGAUAUCUAUUAUUCAUGCUAGAAUUGUAUUAACCGGAAUACAUGUGUGGAUACAUAGACAAUACAGUGUCCCUAGUAAAGCCUCUACUAGACUAGCUCGUUAAUCAAAGGUGGUUAAGUUUCCUAACCAUAGACAUGUGUUGUCAUUUGAUGAAUGGGAUCACAUCAUUAGGAGAAUGAUGUGAUGGACAAGACCCAUCCGUUAGCUUAGCAUAAUGAUUGUUAAGUUUUAUUGCUAUUGCUUUCUUCAUGACUUAUACAUGUUCCUUUGACUAUGAGAUUAUGCAACUCCCGAAUACCGGAGGAAUACCUUGUGUGCUAUCAAACGUCACAACGUAAAUGGGUGAUUAUAAAGAUGCUCUACAGGUAUCUCCAAAGGUGUUUUGUUGGGUUGGCAUAGAUCGAGAUUAGGAUUUGUCACUCCGAGUAUCGGAGAGGUAUCUCUAGGCCCUCUCGGUAAUGCACAUCAUAAUAAGCCUUGCAAGCAAUGUGACUAAUGAGUUAGCUACGGGAUAAUGCAUUACGUAACGAGUAAAGAGACUUGCCGGUAACGAGAUUGAACUAGGUAUGAGGAUACCGACGAUCGAAUCUCGGGCAAGUAACCGAUGACAAAGGGAAUAACAUAUGUUGUCAUAACGGUUCGAUCGAUAAAGAUCUUUGUAGAAUAUGUGGGAGCCAAUAUGAGCAUCUAGGUUCCGCUAUUGGUUAUUGACCGGAGCAGUGUCUCGGUCAUGUCUACAUAGUUCUCGAACCCGUAGGGUCCGCACGCUUAACGUUUGAUGACGAUUUGUAUUAUGAUUUAUUGUGUUUUGGUAACUGAAGUUUGUUCAGAGUACCGGAUGAGAUCACGGACAUGACGAGGAGUCUCGAAAUGUUGGAGAGGUAAAGAUUAAUAUAUUGGACGAUGAUAUUCGGACACCGGAAUGGUUCCGAAGUGUUUCGGGUAUUUUUCGGAGUACCGGGAGGUUACCGGAACCCCCCGGGAAAGUAAUGGGCCAACAUGGGCCAUAGGGGAGAGAGAGGGGAGCCCACAAGGGGUGGCGCGCCCCCCAUGGGCUAUCUGAAUUGGACAAGGGGAAGGGGGUGCGACCCCCCUUUCCUUCUCCCUCUCCCUCUCCUUCCCCCUUCCCCCCCCCUGAAAGAAAGGAAGGGGGCCGACUUGGACUAGGAGUCCUAGUCGGUUUCCCCCCCCCAUGGCGCGCCCCCUAGGACCGGCGGCCUCCUCCCAUCCUCCUUUAUAUACGGGGGCAAGGGGCACCCCAAAGCACAUCAAUUGUUCUCUUAGCCGUGUGCGGUGCCCCCCUCCACAGUUUACUCCUCCGGUCAUAUUGUCGUAGUGCUUAGGCGAAGCCCUGCGCGGAUCACAUCACCGUCACCACGCCGUCGUGCUGACGAAACUCUCCCUCGACACUUUGCUAGAUCAAGAGUUCGAGGGACGUCAUCGAGCUAAACGUGUGCUGAACUCAGAGGUACUGUACGUUCGGUGCUUGAUCGGUUGGAUCGCGAAGACGUUCGACUAAAUCAACCGCGUUAAGCUAACGCUUUCGCUUUCGGUCUACGAGGGUACGUGGACACACUCUCCCCUUCUCGUUGCUAUGCAUCUCCUAGAUAGAUCUUGCAUGAUCAUAGGAAUUUUUUUGAAAUUGCAUGCUACGUUCCCCAACAGUGGUAUUAGAGCCAGGUCUAUGCGUAGAUGAUAUGCACGACUAGAACACAAAGAGUUGUGGGCGAUGAUAGUCAUCUUACCACCAAUGUCUUAUUUUGAUUCGGCGGUAUUGUUGGAUGAAGCGGCCCGGACCAACCUUACAUGACCGCGUUCAUGAGACCGGUUCCACCGACAGACAUGCAACUUGUUUUGCAUAAAGGUGGCUGGCGGGUGUCUGUUUCUCCAACUUUAGUUGAAUCGAAUUUGACUACGGCCGGUUGUUGUUGAAGGUUAAAACAGCAAACUUGACGAAACAUCGUUGUGGUUUUGAUGCGUAGGUAAGAAUGGUUCUUACUAGAAGCCCGUAGCAGCCACGUAAAACUUGCAACAAAAAAGUGCAUGUUGUGAUGUGAUAUGGUCAAGACAUGAUGUGAUAUACAUUGUUGUAUGAGAUGAUCAUGUUUUGUAAAAGUUAUCGGCAACUGGUAGGAGCCUUAUGGUUGUCGCUUUAUUGUAUGAGAUGCACACACCAUGUAAUUGCUUUACUUUAUCACUAUGCGUUACCGAUAGUUGUAGAAGCAAUAGUUGGCGAGACGACCACGACGCUACGAUGGAGAUCAAGGUGUCAAGCCGGUGACGAUGGAGAUCAUGACUGUGCUUUGGAGAUGGAGAUCAAAGGCACAAGAUGAUGAUGGCCAUAUCAUGUCACAUAUUUUGAUCGCAUGUGAUGUUUAUCUUUUAUGCAUCUUAUUUUGCUUAGUACGAUGGUAGCAUUAUAAGAUGAUCCCUUACUAGAAUUUCAAGGUAUAAGUGUUCUCCCUGAGUAUGCACCGUUGCGAUAGUUCGUCGUGCCGAGACACCAAGUGAUGAUCGGGUGUGAUAAGCUCUAUGUUCACAUACAACGGGUGCAAGACAGUUUUGCACGUGCGAAUACUCGGGUUAAACUUGACGAGCCUAGCAUGUACAGACAUGGCCUGGGAACACUGGAGACCGAAAGGUCGAACGUGAAUCAUAUAGUAGAUAUGAUCAACAUAGAGAUGUUCACCAUUGAAAACUACUCCAUCUCACGUGAUGAUCGGACAUGGUUUAGUUGAUUUGAAUCACGUGAUCAUUUAGAUGACUCGAGGGAUGUCUAUCUAAGUGGGAGUUCUUAAGUAAUAUGAUUAAUUGAACUUAAUUUAUCAUGAACUUAGUCCUGAUAGUUUUUGCAUAUCUAUGUUGUAGAUCAAUGGCCCGUGCUACCGUUCCCUUGAAUUUUAAUGCGUUCCUAGAGAAAGCUAAGUUGAAAGAUGAUGGUAGCAACUACACGGAUUGGGUCCGUAACUUGAGGAUUAUCCUCAUUGCUGCACAGAAGAAUUAUGUCCUUGAUGCACCGCUAGGUGUGCCACCCCCUCCAGCAACUGCAGACGUUGUGAACGCCUGGCAGUCGCGUGUUGAUGACUACUCGAUAGUUCAAUGCGCCAUGCUUUACGGCUUAGAAUCGGGACUUCAAAGACGUUUUGAAUGUCAUGGAGCAUAUGAGAUGUUCCAGGAGUUGAAGUUAAUAUUUCAAGCAAAUGCCCGAGUUGAGAGAUACGAAGUCUCCAACAAGUUCUAUAGCUGCAAGAUGGAGGAGAACAGUUCUGUCAAUGAACACAUACUCAGAAUGUCUGGGUACCAUAACCACUUGACUCAGCUAGGAGUUAAUCUUCCGGAUGAUAGUGUUAUUGACAGAGUUCUUCAAUCACUGCCACCAAGCUAUAAAGGCUUCAUGAUGAACUAUAAUAUGCAAGGGAUGGAGAAGACUAUUCCCGAGCUCUUCGCAAUGCUCAAAGCUGUGGAGGUAGAAAUCAAGAAGGAGCAUCAAGUGUUGAUGGUUAACAAGACCACUAGUUUCAAGAAAAAGGGUAAAGGAAAGAAGGGGAACUUCAAGAAGAAUGGAAAGCAAGUUGCCACUCCCGGGAAGAAGCCCAAGUCUGGACCUAAGCCUGAAACUGAGUGCUUCUACUGCAAAGGGAUUGGUCACUGGAAGCAGAACUGCCCCAAGUAUUUGGCGGAUAAGAAGGAUGGAAAAGUGAACAAAGGUAUAUUUGAUAUACAUGUUAUUGAUGUGUACCUUACUAAUGCUCGUAGUAGUGCCUGGGUAUUUGAUACCGGUUCGGUUGCUCAUAUUUGUAACUCGAAAUAGGGGCUACGGAUUAAACGAAGAUUGGCUAAGGACGAGGUGACGAUGCGCGUCGGGAAUGGUUCCAAGGCCGUUGUGAUCGCCGUCGACACGCUACCUCUACAUCUACCCUCGGGAUUAGUUUUAGACCUGAAUAAUUGUUAUUUGGUGCCAGCGUUGAGCAUGAACAUUAUAUCUAGAUCUUGUUUCAUGCGAGACGGUUAUUCAUUUAAAUCAGAGAAUAAUGGUUGUUCUAUUUAUAUGAUUAAUAUCUUUUAUGGUCAUGCACCCUUGAAGAGUGGUCUAUUUUUGUUGAAUCUCGAUCGUGGUGAUACAAAUAUUCAUAAUAUUGAUGCCAAAAGAUGCAAAGUUGAUAAUGAUAGUGCAACAUAUUUGUGGGACUGUCGUUUGGGUCAUAUUGGUGUAAAGCGCAUGAAGAAACUCCAUGUAGAUGGACUUUUGGAAUCACUUGAUUAUGAAUCAUUUGAUACUUGCGAACCAUGCCUCAUGGGAAAGAUGAAUAAGACUCCGUUCUCUGGAACAAUGGAGCGAGCUACUGACUUAUUGGAAAUAAUACAUACCGAUGUAUGCGGUCCGAUGAGUGUUGAGGCUCGCGGCGGGUAUCAUUAUUUUCUGACCUUCACAGAUGAUUUGAGCAGAUAUGGGUAUAUCUACUUAAUGAAACACAAGUCUGAAACAUUUGAAAAGUUCAAAGAAUUUCAGAGUGAAGUGGAGAAUCAUCGUAACAAGAAAAUAAAGUUUCUAUGAUAUGAUCGCGGAGGCGAAUAUCUGAGUUAUGAGUUUGGCCUUCAUUUAAAACAAUGUGGAAUAGUUUCACAACUCACGCCACCUGGAACACCACAACAUAAUGGUGUGUCCGAACGUCGUAAUCAUACUUUAUUAGAUAUGGUGCGAUCUAUGAUGUCUCUUACCGAUUUACCACUAUCGUUUUGGGGUUAUGCAUUAGAGACAGCUGCAUUCACUUUAAAUAGGACACCAUCUAAAUCCGUUGAGAUGACACCGUAUGAACUAUGGUUUGGCAAGAAACCUAAGCUGUCAUUUCUUAAAGUUAGGGGUUGUGAUGCUUAUGUGAAAAAGCUUCAGGCCGAUAAGCUCGAACCCAAAUCAGAGAAGUGCGUCUUCAUAGGAUACCCAAAAGAGACUGUUGGGUACACCUUCUAUCAUAGAUCCGAAGGUAAGAUCUUUGUUUCUAAGAAUGGAUCCUUUCUAGAGAAGGAGUUUCUCUCGAAAGAAGUGAGUGGGAGGAAAGUAGAACUUGAUGAUGUAAUUGUACCUUCUCUUGAAUUGGAAAGUAGCUCAUCACAGAAAUCAGUUCCAGUGAUCCCUACACCAAUUAGUGAGGAAGCUAAUGAUAAUGAUCAUGAAACUUCAGAUCAAGUUACUACCGAACCUCGUAGGUCAACCAGAGCACGUUCCGCACCAGAGUGGUACGGUAAUCCUGUUCUGGAAGUCAUGUUACUAGACCAUGAUGAACCUACGAACUAUGAGGAAGCGAUGAUGAGCCCAGAUUCCGCAAAAUGGCUUGAGGCCAUGAAAUCUGUGAUGGGAUCCAUGUAUGAGAACAAAGUGUGGACUUUGGUGGACUUGCCCGAUGACUGACAAGCCAUAGAGAAUAAACGGAUCUUCAAGAAGAAGACUGAUGUUGAUGGUAAUGUUACUGUCUACAAAGCUUGACUUGUCGCAAAAGGUUUUUGACAAGUUCAAGGAGUUCACUACGAUGAGACCUUCUCACCCAUAGCGAUGCUUAAGUCUGUCUGAAUCAUGUUAGCAAUUGCCGCAUUUUAUGAUUAUGAAAUAUGGCAAAUGGAUGUCAGAACUGCAUUCCUUAAUGGAUUUCUUAAAGAAGAGUUGUAUAUGAUGCAACCAGAAGGUUUUGUCGAUCCUAAAGGUGUUAACAAAGUGUGCAAGCUCUAGCGAUCCAUUUAUGGACUGGUGCAAACCUCUCGGAGUUGGAAUGUACGUUUUGAUGAGGUGAUCAAAGCAUAUGGUUUUAUACAGACUUUUGGAGAAGCCUGUAGUUACAAGAAAGUGAGUGGGAGCUCUGUAGCAUUUCUAAUAUUAUAUGUGGAUGACAUAUUGUUGAUUGGAAAUGAUAUAGAAUUUCUGGAUAGCAUAAAAGGAUACUUGAGUAAGAGUUUUUCAAUGAAAGACCUCAGUGAAGCUGCUUAAAUAUUGGGCAUCAAGAUCUAUAGAGAGAUCAAGACAGUUAAUUGGACUUUCACAAAGCACAUACCUUGAUAAGAUUUUGAAGAAGUUCAAAAUGGACCAGUCAAGGAAAGGGUUCUUGCCUGUGUUACAAGGUGUGAAGUUGAGUCAGGCUCAAUGCCCGACCAUUGCAGAAGAUAGAGAGAAAAUGAAAGUCAUUCCCUAUGCUUCAGCCAUAGGUUCUAUCAUGUAUGCUAUGUUGUGUACCAGACCUGAUGUGUGCCUUGCUAUAAGUAUAGCAGGGAGGUACCAAAGUAAUCCAGGAGUGGAUCACUGGACAGCGGUCAAGAACAUCCUGAAGUACCUGAAAAGGACUAAGGAUAUGUUUCUCGUUUAUGGAGGUGACAAAGAGCUCGUUGUAAAUGGUUACGUCGAUGCUAGCUUUGACACUGAUCCGGAUGACUCGAAGUCACAAACCGGAUACAUAUUUAUAUUGAAUGGUGGAGCUGUCAGUUGGUGUAGUUCCAAGCAAAGCGUCGUGGCGGGAUCUACGUGUGAAGCGUAGUACAUAGCUGCUUCGGAAUCAACGAAUGAAGGAGUCUGGAUGAAGGAGUUCAUAUCCGAUCUAGGCGUAAUACCUAGUGCAUCGGGUCCAAUGAAAAUCUUUUGUGACAAUACUGGAGCAAUAGCCUUGGCGAAGGAAUCCAGAUUUCACAAAAGAACCAAACACAUCAAGAGACGCUUCAACUCCAUCCGUGAUCAAGUCAAGGAGGGAGACAUAGAGAUUUGCAAAAUACAUACGGAUCUGAAUGUGGCAGACCCGUUUACUAAGCCUCUUCCACAAGCAUAACAUGAUCAACACCAAGACUGCAUGGGUGUUAGAAUCAUUACAAUGUAAUCUAGAUUAUUGACUCUAGUGCAAGUGGGAGACUGAAGGAAAUAUGCCCUAGAGGCAAUAAUAAAGUUGUUAUUUAUAUUUCCUUAUAUCAUGAUAGAUAUCUAUUAUUCAUGCUAGAACUGUAUUAACCGGAAACUUGAUACAUGUAUGGAUACAUAGACAAUACCGUGUCCCUAGUAAAGCCUCUACUAGACUAGCUCGUUAAUCAAAGAUGGUUAAGUUUCCUAACCAUAGACAUGUGUUGUCAUUUGAUGAACGGGAUCACAUCAUUAGGAGAAUGAUGUGAUGGACGAGACCCAUCCGUUAGCUUAGCAUAAUGAUGUGAGGAGUCUCGAAAUGUUGGAGAGGUAAAGAUUAAUAUAUUGGACGAUGAUACUCGGACACCGGAAUGGUUCCGGAGUGUUUCGAGUAUUUUUCGGAGUACCGGGAGGUUACCGGAACCCCCGGGAAAGUAAUGGGCUAACAUGGGCCAUAGGGGAGAGAGAGGGGAGCCCACAAGGGGUGGCACGCGCCCCCCAUGGGCUGUCCGAAUUGGACAAGGGGAAGGGGCGCGGGACCCCUUUCCUUCUCUCUCUCCCUCUCCUUCCCCUUUCCCUCUCCGAAAGAAAGGAAGGGGGGCCGAUUUGGACUAGGAGUCCUAGUCGGUUUCCCCCCCAUGGCGCGCCCCCUAGGGCCGGCGGCCUCCUCCCCUCAUCCUUUAUAUGGGGGGGGGGCAGGAGGGCACCCCAAAGCACAUCAAUUGUUCUCUUAGCUGUGCGUGGUGCCCCCCUCCAUAGUUUACUCCUCCGAUCAUAUUUUCGUAGUGCUUAGGCGAAGCCCUGCGCGGAUCACAUCACCAUCACCGUCACCAUGCCAUUGUGCUGACAAAACUCUCCCUCGACACUUUGUUGGAUCAAGAGUUCGAGGGACGUCAUCAAGCUGAACGUGUGCUGAACUCGGAGGUACCGUACGUUCGGUGCUUGAUCGGUUGGAUCACGAAGACGUUCGACUACAUCAACCGCGUUAAGCUAGCACUUCCGCUUUCGGUCUACGAGGGUACGUGGACACACUCACCCCUUGUCGUUGCUAUGCAUCUCCUAGAUAGAUCUUGCGUGAUCGUAGGAAAUUUUUUGAAAUUGCAUGCUACGUUCCCCAACAGAGGUGGCCUUGGAGAAACAAUGGAGAUGGAUGACGGCUGCAUGGAUGAAUGAAUGAGGAGAUGGGAGGCGCUUAGGGUUGGAUGUGCUUACUCUAGUAAGCAUGCACGUGAAAUUCACGUGCAUUAACAAGAUGAGACAUCGUCUCACAAAAAUAAAAGACAAGACUUCAUGCGUGCCUGCCUUGGCAAAGAUGACAUACUUAGUGCAUGCUAACGCGUCUUUGUAUCCUGAUGAAGCAUCGAAAUUGUUCCCAAGAAAAUACCUGCAAGUGACGUUGUCUGCUGGGCCUGCUCGUUCGAACCAGCUUUUUUCCCUUUUCUUGUCUGAUGUUGUUUUACAGGAGUUUGAUUCAGGUUCUUGUGUUGUGAGUUUGAUUCUGUGUUUAUGUUAGACAAGUACAGUAGGAGUACAUCGCAAGCUUGUUGUAAUAAGAUGAAUAUGCUUCAUAGCUAACUGUUGCCUGAGUUUCAAAAGAUUUUUCGUGUACACAGUAUUUACAUGUCAAGUUAUAAUAAGAUGGAUAUGCUUCAUAUCUAACUAUUGUCUGAUUUUCUAAAGGAUUUACUUCCAUCUGUCGUCGUGCCCACAACAUGAACCAAAAAAAGAAUCAUAGUUCAAAUGAAAAUACAACCUUUUGCCGCAAACUAACUCACGUGGAAAUUAAUAAGAAAUUCACAUAUGAAGCAGGUGUAUCAAAAAUUUACAUGACGCAGUCGGAUCAUCUUCGUCAGCUUUAAAGGUAUAUCCAGCGCCGGCUUCCACAUUUCACGACUUGUAAGUAGGAGCAUGAACACGUUGGACAUAUAUUUAACAACUAACAUAUAGUAAAUUAAACUACUCCCAUCUGCCUCAUUGUGCCUACUCCUUGUGCAUCUCCAGGAUACCAAAUUUGAUGAAGAAAAUCAACUGUAAAGAACAUUGUCCCGGGCCUCCUCUCCCUAGUAUUCGAACUUCGUUCUUCAAAAUCUAUUUGGCCAAAAUCUAUGUAGCUCCUGGGCAUGGUUUCUUUUGCUAGAUAUUUGUCACUUUUAACCUUCUACAUAUGUAUAUACAUGGUAUAUCACUGGACAUAGCAUAAUGAUAUUCCCCAAAGAUAUGUGUUGAUGUGUUUAACUCUCUUCCUUCGACUGGCAUAAUGUGACAAAAUUACAUGGUUCAGAGGUGAAGACCGCACCGGCCCGAAGGCCAGUGCGCGUGGUGGAGGCCCCCCUUCUGCUUACUCUAGGCUUGACCCUUCUCUUCUCUAUGGAGGUGGUCUUGGAGCAACAAUGGAGAUGGAUGACGGCUGCAUGGAUGAAUGAAUGAGGAGAUGGGAGGCGCCUAGGGUUGGAGGUGCUUAUAUGAAGGCCUCCCGGUAUCUCUUGAUGUGGGACGCCGCUGAAAUGAUCUUUCAUGGUGCCAAAGAACUCACAAGGAGCAACAACUAUCUCUCUCAAGUGGCAAAGAACAAGAGGAAACACUCUCAAAUAUAUUGAAGUGGAUAACUAGCUUGGUUUACAAUGAUGCAACCCAAACCAUGAAACUUGUGAACCUAUGUAGAAUCACAAGAGGGAAUCACAAGGAUCCUAUAUGAACUGAGGACAGACCCUCGAAUCCACACACACGAGCUAACACUCAAGGAUACUAGUGCUCACAACACACCACCUCAUCGGCUGUCUACAAACAUAAACUCAGAAAUUUCAUCCUCCCUUCACAUGGAACAGCCGAGAAGUACUUAUACUAGAAGCACAUAUACUAGUUAGGUGUGAAAAAACUAAAAAUGAAGGGUAAAUUCGUGAGCCCCAACACUACAAAAAAAAUACACUUCCGUGAUGAUACGUGUUUGUCACAGUAGGUCACGUUUUCUAUCAUGCAUGUACAUCCAUGACGAUUUUAUGACAGAAUCAAGAUAGUCAUACAUGUGCUGUCGUAGAAGUGUUCCAUGACAUUACCAAAAUUAUCAUCACGGAAGUGUCCACUUCCAUGACGAUAAAUCACGCGUCAUAGAAGUGCUUUCGUCAAGGGUGACCGACACAUGGCAUCCACCGUAACGGGUCGCCGUUAAGCUAUCGGGUCUGGUUUUGGAUCCGAUAACCUGUUAACAGCCCGGACCAAUGGGAAUUUUCCACAUGUAAAAUUCUCAUUGGCCGGAGGAAACACGUGUCGGCUCACCGUUGGGACAGAUGUCAUCCACUCAUUGGACAUAAGGCGCCAAUGAUACGUCGACACAUGGCAUGGCCCAACAGAGGCCCAUUCCUGUGAAAAGGCCGGCCCGUUUGACUUGGUCAAAAGACAGCGGGCCGGCCCACGAAAAGCCUGUUAACGGCCUGUUCGCGCAUAGCCCAUUUACAACCCGCUAACACUACUGGAAUCAGGGAUUUUGCCGUCUGCCAGUUCUUUGCCGUCUGCUUGCGGACGGCAAAGGUCUUUGCCAUCAGCUACCGAACAACAAACGGCAAAGAACUAGCAGACAACAAAGAAGGUCUUUGCCAUCUAUCAUUUCUUUGCCGUCUGCUGGCAGAUGGCAAAGAAUCUCUGACGUCUGCGGGCAGAUGGCAAAGAAUCUUUGCCAUCUGCCAGCGGACGGCAAAGAGGUGCCACCGGAUGCCAGUGCACUGCAAUGGUCCACCCCCUCUUUGUCGUCUGCCGGCAGACGGCAAAGAAGGGGGCUAUCUUUUUUUUGCGGGUAAAAAAAUCGUUGCCCCCACCUCCUCUAUCUCUAUCCCCUCUCUCUCCGCCCCUCUCUCUGGCCCACCCCUCUCUCUCUCUCCCGCUCAUCUCUCCCUCUCCCUCGCGUGAGCAGCUAUGGCGGCCAAUUCCGGCGAGCUCCGGCGGGAUUCAAUGGCGCCCAGCACACCCACGUGACCCCCUCGCCCCACUCCUCCAUCCCCUUCGACCAGAUCCGACGCGCGUGUGGGAUCAGGUGUUGCUAGUGGUAGUUCGGGGCGUGCGGGCGGACCAGAUCGACCUCAAGACCCUCGACGAGCAGCUCGACCGCCACCUCGCGCGCGCAUGGACCAUGGACAAGCCCAAGCGCAACCAGGAUCACCAGCAGUAGCAGCCGCGCCAGGACUGGGAGGCCGACCCCGCCAGGCUCGUCGUCCGGGGCGUCAUCGCGCAUGGCACCUUCAGCACCGUCCACCGCCGUGUCUACGACGGCCUCGACGUCGCAGGUCCGUCCCGCCACCAUCUCCUCUGCUCCACUCCCCUCCCCUCCAUCCCCCGUUCACUGCACGCAUGUUCAUUGCCAACACGGACACUCGGCACGCGGGUACAUACGUAGCCAGCCCAGCCGCGACCCCGCGCGCGCCUGUAGGCUGUUCGACGGAAUGCCUGCCGGUGCGGCGGCGCCGUUCAUUGCGGCGAGACUCACUCGACUCGAUCGAUCGGUNNNNNNNNNNNNNNNNNNNNNNNNNNNNNNNNNNNNNNNNNNNNNNNNNNNNNNNNNNNNNNNNNNNNNNNNNNNNNNNNNNNNNNNNNNNNNNNNNNNNNNNNNNNNNNNNNNNNNNNNNNNNNNNNNNNNNNNNNNNNNNNNNNNNNNNNNNNNNNNNNNNNNNNNNNNNNNNNNNNNNNNNNNNNNNNNNNNNNNNNNNNNNNNNNNNNNNNNNNNNNNNNNNNNNNNNNNNNNNNNNNNNNNNNNNNNNNNNNNNNNNNNNNNNNNNNNNNNNNNNNNNNNNNNNNNNNNNNNNNNNNNNNNNNNNNNNNNNNNNNNNNNNNNNNNNNNNNNNNNNNNNNNNNNNNNNNNNNNNNNNNNNNNNNNNNNNNNNNNNNNNNNNNNNNNNNNNNNNNNNNNNNNNNNNNNNNNNNNNNNNNNNNNNNNNNNNNNNNNNNNNNNNNNNNNNNNNNNNNNNNNNNNNNNNNNNNNNNNNCGCCGAUGUUAAGGACUUGUUGUUCUGCAUCAUUCGCCUAUUUCCCCAUUCUUACAUAGGUUGCUUCAUUUUGCAACCCCCAAGCUAUAGGUACGCAUUGCUCUGCAAUGGAAAUCAAUUUAAACCCUCGUGGGAAAAUCCGGACUGAUCUAAGGUUGAUUUUUUUUAAUUUUAAUCCUGUAAGCACUUGAAUUGAAAGACAUAAAUAAAAGGUAUUUCAGUAGUGGAUAACCUUACCUCAUUAGCCUAGAGAGCACUAUAGUCAGUAUGUUGUUGUCGACCCAUAUAUCCGAGGACAGGUUAUGCAGAUUUUUGAUACGUCUGCAACGUAUCUACUUUUUCUCACGCUUUUCCUCUUGUUUUGGACUCUAAUUUGCAUCAUUUGAAUGAAACUAACCCCGGUCUGACGCUGUUUUCAGCAGAACUACCAUGGUGUUGUUUUUGUGCAGAAAUAAAAUUUCUCAGAAUAAAAUGAAACUUUGCGAGGAUUUUUGAUGGAAUAAAAGAAGAUUUUUGGAGCCAACAACCACCGGAGAGGGGCCCCUGGGUGGGCACAACCCACUAGGGCGCGCCCCCCUCUCCUCACGCGCCCAGGUGGGUUGUACCCACCUGGUGGCCCCGCUGACAACCCCCCUGAUACUAUAAAUUCACAUAUUUCCAGAAAAAAAUCAGGGAGAAAGAACUAUCGCGUUUCAUGAGACGGAGCCACCGCCAAGCCCUGUUCUUCCUCGGGAGGGCAAAUCUGGAGUCUGUUUGGGGCUCCGGAGAGGGGGAUCUUUGUUCUUCGUCAUCACCAACCAAUCUCCAUCGCCAAUUCCAUGAUGCUCCCCACCGGGAGUGAGUAAUUCCUUCGUAGGCUCGCUGGUCGGUGAGGAGUUGGAUGAGAUUCAUCAUGUAAUCGAGUUAGUUUUGUUAGGGCCCGAUCCCUAGUAUCCACUAUGUUCUUAGAUUGAUGUUGCUAUGACUUUGCUAUGCUUAAUGCUUGUCACUUUGGGCCCGGGUGCCAUGAACUCAGAUCUGAACCGUUUAUGAAUUCAUCAUUAUAGCCAUGUUUUAGAUCCGAUCUUGCAAGUUAUAGUCACCUACUACGUGUUAUGAUCCGACAACCCCGGAGUGACAACAACCGGGCCCACUCUCGGUGAUGACCGUAGUUUGAGGAGUUCAUGUAUUCACUAUGUGUUAAUGCUUUGUUCCGGUUCUCUAUUAAAAGGAGGCCUUAAUAUCCCUUAGUUUCCAAUUUGGACCCCGCUGCCACGGGAGGGUAGGACAAAAGAUGUCAUGCAAGUUCUUUUAAUAAAGCACGUAUGACUAUUUACGGAAUACAUGCCUACAUUAUAUCGAUGAACUGGAGCCAGUGUCGUAUCGCCCUAGGUUAUAUUUGUCACAUGAUGAAUAUCAUCCAACAAGUCACCGAUCCAAUGCCUACGAAUUUAUUUAUAUUGAUCUUGCUAAGUUACUACUGCUGCUGCUACUGUUACACUUGCCACAAGAUUACUACUAUCAUUGUUACUAUUACUAUUACUGCUGUCACUACUAUCAAAACUAUCAAACUAUUGUGCUACUGAUCACUUUGCUGCAGAUAAUUAAUCUCCAGAUGUGGUUGAAUUGACAACUCAGCUGCUAAUACCUUCAAAUAUUCUUUGGCUCCCCUUGUGUCGAAUCUAUAAAUUUGGGUUGAAUACUCUACCCUCAAAAACUGUUGCGAUCCCCUAUACUUGUGGGUUAUCAAGACCAUUUUAUGGCGCCGUUGCCGGGGAGCAUAUCAAUAUUUGUUGAGUCACUUGGGAUUAUUAUCAUAUUAUCACUAUGAAGAAUCUGAAGGAUCCAAAGACUAAGAUAUUUCUCUCAAAGAUGAGGGGAGGUAAGGAACUGCCAUCCAGUUCUGCUUUAGGUUCACCUUCUAUUAUGAGUAAACUUGCAACACCACCACCACAUGCUAUUAAUUCUGAUAUGUCGCAAGUUUUUGAUGCUGCUACUUCUUAUGGAUAAUGUUUAUGAUGAUGCUAGUAACUUGCUUGGCAAUGAUGAUGUGCCACUUGGUGAAUUUCUUGAUGAACAAAUUGCUAGAGUUAUACAACAUGAUGUUGUUGAAUCUGAUGAUGAGCUUGAAACUGAAACUCCUAAAACACCUGCUAGAACUAGCUUUCCUAGAUAUGAAUUUCCUAAGGUACCGGAAGGUUAUGUUAUGAAUGAGGAGACAACUAGAGGUAUUCUUGCUUGUAGGGAUAGAGAUGAUCUAGACAAAUUAUUAUGCAAGUACAAAGAAAAAUCUCUGAAUGCUAGAGUGAAGUAUGAUCCUAAGUUUGCUACUUCACCUAUCUGUAUUGCUGAUAAGGAUUAUGAAUUCUCUAUCGAACCAGAGUUAAUUACUUUGGUUGAAUCUGAUCCUUUCCAUGGUUAUGAAACUGAAACUGUUGUGGCACAUCUUACUAAGUUGAAUGAUAUAGCCACCCUUUUUACUCAUGAUGAGAAAACUUGCUAUUAAUUUAUUCUCAAAUUAUUUCCUUUCUCAUUAAAGGGUGAUGCUAAAGCUUGGUACAAUACUCUUACUCAUGGUUGUGUGUGUAGUCCCUAGGAUAUGACCUAUUACUUCUCUGAAAAAUAUUUUCCUGCUCAUAAGAAACUUGCUGCCUUACAGGAAAUAUUUAACUUUGUUCAAACUAAAGAAGAGAGCCUCCCACAAGCUUGGGGGAGGCUUUGCCAGUUACUUAAUGCUUUGCCUGAUCAUCCUCUUAAGAAAAAUGAAAUACUUGAUAUCUUCUAUAAUGGACUAACCGAUGCUUCUAGGGACUUCCUAGAUAGUUGUGCUAGUUGUGUUUUCAGGGAACGAACUAUUGCUCAAGCUGAAGAAUUAUUGAACAACAUAUUGAAAAACUAUGAUGAUUGGACUAUUCCUGAACCACCGGCUAAACUCACUCCUAGGAAGAGGGGUAUAUUAUAUCUCAGUCCUGAAGAUAUGCAAGAGGCAAAGAAAUCUAUGAAGGAAAAAGGUAUUAAAGCUGAGGAUGUUAAAAAUUUACCUCCUAUUGAAGAAAUACAUGGGCUUGAAACACCACUACUGCUUAAGGUGGUAGAGGUAAAUUCUUUAAUGAAGUUCAAUGAAAAUGAUAAUCCUCACAAUAUGCAUCCUAGUCAAUGCCUUUAUGAGUUUGAAAACAACAUUAGAAAACAAGAUCACUUCAAUGCAAAUGUUAUGAAACAAUUGAAAUACAAUUCUGAUAUGAUUGCUCGCUUGAGUGACUUGUUAUUUAGAAUUUCAAAUGAUGUUAGAGGUGUUGGAAAACAUGCUUCUAUGGUUCAAACCCAACUAGAACAAGUUGCUAAAUCACAAAGAGAAUUGCUUGAUGAAAUGAAUAAUAAUAUGCAUGACUUUGCUGUUAGAGUUGCAACUAGAGGAGGUGAAAUGACCCAGGAACCACUUUAUCUUGAAGGACACACAAAAAGAAUUAUACAAGAUUCACAAAGAGCUAACACUAGUGCACCUAGUCCUACAAAAAAGAAAAAGAAAAAGAAAAAUGAUAGGGCUUUGCAUGCUUCUAGUGAACCUGAAAUAGAGAAACCUCCUGAUAAUGAAAAUGGAAUUUAUAUCUCUGAUGCUGAAACUCAAUCUGGUAAUGAACAUCCACUUAGUGAUAAUGAAAAAGAUAAUGCUGAUGUUCAUGAAGAUGCUCAAUUAAAUGAAAAAGAACCAGAUAAUGAUCUGGAGAUAGAACCACCUGUUGAUCUUGAUAACCCACAACCUAAGAAUAAAAGGUAUGAUAAAAGUGACUUCAUUGCUAGAAAACACGGUAAAGAAAGAGAACCGUGGGUUCAAAAACCUAUGCCUUUUCCACCCAAGUCAACUAAAAAGAAUGAUGAUGAAGAAUUUGAACGCUUUGCUAAGAUGCUGAGGCCAGUCUUUUUGCGUACUCGCUUAACUGAUAUCUUGAAAAUGCCUCCUUAUGCAAAGUAUAUGAAAGACAUCAUCACAAAUAAGAGAAAAAUACCGGAAGCUGAAAUCUCCACCAUGCUUGCUAAUUAUACUUUGAAAGAUGGAGUACCUAAAAAACUUGGAGAUCUGGGUAUACCAACUAUACCUUGCUCUAUCAAAAAGAAUUAUGUGAAAACUGCUUUGUGUGAUUUAGGAGCUGGUGUUAGUGUUAUGCCUUUCUCUUUAUAUAAAAGACUUGAUUUGAAUAAACUCACACCUACUGAAAUAUCCUUGCAAAUGGCCGACAAAUCAACUGCCGGACCUAUUGUUAUCUGUGAGGAUGUUCCCGUUGUUGUUGCCAAUGUUUCUAUUUUGACUGACUUUGUUAUACUUGAGAUGCCCGAGGACGACAACAUGUCGAUUAUCCUUGGUAGACCCUUCUUGAAUACUACAGGGGCUGUUAUUGAUUGCAAUAAAAGCAAGGUCACUUUUCAUAUUAAUGGUAAUGAGCACACGGUGCACUUUCCGAAGAAACAAUUCCAAGUGAAUGGUAUUAAUGUUAUUGAAAAAUCUCCGACAAUCACUAUUGGAAGUUUUCAAAUACCUCGACCUACCGUCAAAAACAAAUAUGAAAUGCUUAUUGUUGGGGAGAUGCAUAUCCCCAUUGAGGUAACUUAGUGAUUUAUGAAAGUUCUUCGGUUUCAUGCUAAUCGAAAGUGGUUGUUAAUAAGACCUGAUCAACCUUAUUAAUGAAUCAUUUUUGAGCGGUAUGAAGUUGAUGAAUUUAGUAAUCACUACCUUCUGUCUCUACUUUUUGUUUUUUGUUUUAUUAGUUAAAUAAAAUAAAAUGCAAUGAUAUGUCUGUUUUCUAAAUUUCCCGUGCAAUAAAAAAUGACCCAAAAAUAAAGGUUCUCAGAAUGCCCUGAAAAUUUUAUAUGAUUUUUUCUGAAUAUUUAAGAAUUUUUGGUGCAAAUAAUACCAGAGGGAGGUGCACCAGGUGGGCACAACCCACCUAGGCACGCCAGGACCCCCAGGCGUGCCUUGGUGGGUUGUGGUCCCCACGUGGGCCCCCUCACUUAUCUCUUUAGCCCACAUCAUCACUUACCUCCAGAAAAAAAUCCCCAUUGCUCUCUCUCCUGUGUUCUUGAGCUCAAGCCCGCGAAUUUCGAUCUCUUUGCUUGAAGCUCCAUUUUCGAAACUGUUUCGGGGGAUUGUUGCUUGAAAAUUGUAUGCGGACAUUAUGAACCUAUUUGGAAGGAUCUUCGAGGAGACGAUCCUCGGGGGCAUCUUCUAGUGACAGUUCUGCUCGUCGGUCUUAUGUUGAACCAAGUGAAAGUUCCACGCGAGAUGCCGCCACUAAAACUUGCUUAUGGCCUUGCGAUGAGUAUAUGAUGCAAGUGGGCAUGAAGGAGGAAUUCGAGCAAUAUGUUCACAAUGUCGGUCUCGGUCCCUACCUCUCAGAUAAGUGUGAACAUCGCCAUCUUCUCACUGAAUCAUUUGUCAAAGGAUUUAAAUAUUUUCCACGUGAGUCUAGGGUGUCGUUUAUGCUUUAUGAUAAUCCAUAUACAAUCUCACUAGAUAAUUUUGAUUACCAUUGCAAGCUUCCAUUUUGGGAUUCGCUUGAUGAGCCACCAAAGGCUGAGUAUGAGUCUUUCUUGACUAGCCUUUGUUACGGUGAAAGUAGGGGAGUAAGACAAGGAAGAAUAAAGAGCAUUCACUUUCUCGCAAUUCAGUACCUUACAUUAUUUAACAGGAAAUGCAUUGUGGGCAAGCAAGACUGUAGCAUACUUUGUGCGCCAGACUUGAGCCUCUUUCACAGCGCUCUCACUGGUGAAAGGAAUUAUAACUUUGGAGCAAUUGUUGCACGUAGACUUUAGCAUAACGCCAAAAGUGGCUGGUUCUAUGGUGGAAUUUAUGCCACGCGUUUAGCAUGAGGGGUGCGUGUUUCACCUUUACCCUUUGAUCCCAUCCUACCCACGCAGUAUUUAGACUUUGACACCUUAAAAGAACAUAAGAUUCUUAUGGGAAGGGCUGAUAAUUUCACUUAUAAUUUGUUGUUUAACCAAUCACAUGUUGUGGAUACAUAUUUGCCCGCGCCUGCUCUUUUUGACUUUAACAGCAAGAGAAGAUAUUUUGCUCUUGAGAGCGAGGCCCGAGCUCAUAAUGCGGCAGUGGUAGCAGCACGGCAGGCCAUGGCUUCCGCACCAAGAGCCUCUGUGAGCUACCACACU
Molecule: long non-coding RNA, 69669 nt
Filed under: Triticum aestivum (bread wheat)
Lineage: Eukaryota; Viridiplantae; Streptophyta; Magnoliopsida; Poales; Poaceae
Description: long non-coding RNA (TAES_LNC004012)
Source: RNAcentral